CCGCGGCGCGGGCGGCCGCCGACGACGGCCGCAGGCAGGCCGGCGCCGACGAGUCGCUCCGCAAGGCCAUGUACCUCAGCUGCUGGGGCCCCAGCUGAGAGGAUAAGGCCGUUUUGUGAAUGUGACGGGGCGGCGGAUGGGUGGGACAGGCGGUCGGUGUAGGGGCCUCGGCCUUUGCGGAUGCUCAAUGGCCGGACCGGGCCUGCUGGGGCCUUUGAUGAACUCGCGAUCGCGAGAUGCGUUGAGGGGUUCGGUGAUUUGGGAUUAACAUCUGGGAAAUUUGUGGGAUCAUCAAAAGGGUUACUGUACUGUAAUCUUGUACAUAUGCUUCCUGUAGAUAUCGAAUGGAACUAGGGAAAAAGAAAAAAAAAAUCUUUCGGCUACUUUCUCUCUGGAACUUUCGAUCGAUUAGUCAGAGCAAACGCUGUCGAGUUUGAGCGAUUAGAGCUCUCUGCCAAAGUGCCAAGUGUCCAGCGUCGAGCAACCAUGUCAAAACGAAGGGCGGGAGCGGAGUUCGUGUCGCUCCGGCCCGGGCAUCACAAAUUCACAAGGAUUUUGUAUAUAACAACUUUUUAAGUUCGUCGAUCAAUCACGUAGCCGGCAUCCUGAUGGAUCGGCACAGCAACGCGUUGAGUUGAGCCCGGCGCCGGCCGAACAGACUGCUACGAGCCCAUGACCAGGCAGCACUUCGGCGAACGCCGAUCUCGGCUUCAAACUCUGAAGUUCAGGCGGGUUCCGUUCCUACCGCAGAUAAUUUCAGGCAAGCAAGCGGCUCGAUGGACCGAUGGCCGGGCAGGGGACGGGACGUACGCGAUUACCCACACCGCACGAGGACGUCGCAGAGGUGCGCCUCCCGCCGCCCGAACAGGUCGCAGCUGCCCCAACCGUUGGCCGCACGGGUUCAGAGUUCAUCGGAGAAGUCGGCCGCACGGGCACCAACCGUUUUGGCGCAGAUCCUAAGGUCCGGUAAGGCCUGGCAACGCAGCCGCGAAUCCCCUAGUCGAUCACUCGCCGUCCUCUCCUCGAUUCGUCACCACUCACCCCGCGCGCAUCAUUCCUUCGCGAGCCGCGCGGCACCGGAGCUCGACACGGCGACAGGAUCGCACCGGGGAGAGCGAGGCAGCGAGCGCGAGGGACAUGCCGCGACAAGCGACGGAUAUGAUUGACUCGCGUCGGACAACGAUGCGGAGCUGGAGCCUGACGCGGUUGGCUUUUGGCCUGCGCCGGCUUUUUCACGUGGUGUCACGUGACGCUGGGCCACCGCGGUCGCGUCCCGGGACGGGUGGCGCGACGCGACGCGACCGAGUGACGGAAACGAAGCAUGGGCGAGAGAGAGGGCAAACGACGCGACGGGACCCCCACGCCGUGGUCUCCAGGACGCGUGCUCGCGGCCGGUGCAUGCACCGCGCGUGCGCCGUCGCUCCAGCUCCUGCAAUACGUCCGGAGAGCCAAGAGUGGGAGCAAGAUUGCAAGUCUGCAAGAGCAAGUAAGCAACUCUCACUCAGCGGCUGGCAUCAUGCGUGCCGUCAUUGGCGGAGGCCGGUGGCCGUAGCGGCUCUCCUUAUCUCCUACGUUCCUGGGCUGGCAGUGGCAGGAGUCGACGAAACUUGCGUUGGCAACGACUCCAACCGCGGCGUACGUUGAUCCGGCACACCACGUGCCCUCAAUUUAGGCGUCGUGGAGAGGGUUCUAUAGCGUGCCUACCGCCUAGCUCUAGCCGAACCGUAUACGAAUCGUUCCACAAGCUUCCAAUGCUCCACGAAGCAUAUGAUAGGAAAAGAGGGUGCAAGACCUCAGGCCUGAUGUAGUGAUGUUGUGUGGGAUCGAACCUACCUGGAAGCCUGGAUAACCAUGAUUUUUAUACGGUAUCAAAGUUAACAUGAUUCUGAAACUCCCAAUCCAUCCAACUAACGAACGAGUGAGAGAUUUUUAGAAGUAAUCUCUUCUCGUUUAUAAAGCCCAACAGGCUAUAGCCCAUGUGCUAUUUCGAAACUCCUACGCACAGCCAAGAAACACCACGUACCCAGAGAAAUAGGCCCAUAAAAGAGGUGGCACCCGCAGCCCAUUAACCACCACGCAUCGCGCGCGGAUAUGAGAAGCCCAUGCCCAUAUUCACAACAGCAGAAGAACUGAAGAAGUGACGAACAUCCUCCCAAAGAAUACCGACACUCCAACAGCCUCGACAUCAUUAGACCAUUACCUCCAAUCGCAAUAUAGUACGUGGUAGCAGUAGAGUAAAAGAAUACUGUGCUCAGGUUUGCAUCUAACCACCGUGCGAUAAUCGCCUACAAUACCCACGCCAAUCAAACGCUGCGUACAAAGAAUAUCACGCACGCCGCCGGCCGCACCACCAACGCGAGCCGUGCAUCACACAUCCACACAGCUCAGACGUUGUCGGGCAGGUCGAAGUGCUGGACGCCGAGCACCUGCAGCGCGGCGUUCUGGACGAAGAGGACAACGCCGCACUUGGCGGCGCGGAAGCCGUCCCAGAGCGGGAACUGGACGGUCCCGGACACGGACUUCUUCGCGGAGGCGCCCUCCCGCACCGCCGCCACCUUCUCCAGGCGGCGCACCACGUGGUCGUUCAGCAGCGACUUGCCCUUGUUCUCGCCGCGCCCGCAGUCCGUCACCAGCCCGCUCUCGUACAGCGCCACCAGCACGCUCGCGCCGCCGGCGCCCUCCACGCGGCUGCGCAGGGUGCCCGUGAACGACGCCUGCAGCGUCGUCGGGUUCGGCCGCUGGAACGUCGCCUGCACGUUACGUAACGUACGCGGAUCAGAUCAGAUCAGGUCGAGGUUUCAACGGUGCAUCUACAGUGACAUUGACACCGCAUCUACAGAACCCAUAUGUAUCCGGUAGAUAUGAAAUACUGUUCAUUGCAGAUCCGGCAUAAGAACAGUGGCUGAUGAGACGUUCCACAGCAACAGGCAAUCAGAUAUCCUGGUUGUCGCUUCUUAAAUUUGCAGACCGCUUUGAACACUUUCUACAUGGCAACAGGAUCGGAUGUGCAAGGAAGUUGUAAUUACAGUACCUUCAUGGCGGGCGCCGGGUAUCGCGGCGCGUCGCGGACGCCCUGCGCGAGCGCGUCCUGCUCGGUGCCGACGCAGUGCGCACGGCCCUGCACGACGACCUGCGGCGUGAAGAGCGUGUCGAGGCGGAGCGCCUCCACGUAGGCCUUCUGGCGCACGGUCCAAGCGCUGGACGCGAAGGGGUCCUUCCACCCGCUGUGGUCCCAGUAGUCCACGUGGAACGCCAGCACCACCACGGCCGGCCCGCCGCCGCCGCCUUCCUGCUGAGCCGCGGAAUCCUGCGCCAGCCGCGCCGCCACGGCGUCGGCCUCGGGCGACGCCCCGCACCCCUGCGACGCGAACAGCUCCAACAACACCGGCCCCGGGGCUACCUGCUGCUGCUGCUGCUGGUCCUCCUGCUCGUCCGGCGCCGACGCCGUCGCGCCGCCCCUCCGGCCAAAGCACGCCAGCAGCCGCGGCGCCAUCGAUGGUUGUAGGCUAGCUAGUAUCUGCCUUAGCUAGCGAGCUGCCGGCGCCGGCGGUAGUGGUGCAGCUGGCGAGGGAACGUCGUGGCGAAGGGAAUGAGGGGAGAUCAAGUGACGAGCUCGCUCGCGUGGUGGCGUGUAGCGGGCAAGUAGUAGGUGUCCCGGACGGUAUGGUGUGUGGUGGCCUGGUGGGAUAGAUGAUUGGUGGGUGGAACUGAACGUGGCGGUGGCGACGGCAACAGGACACCAGCCUGUCAGCACGCAACCCCUCUUGGUGUUGGAACUUCGCCGGCUGGCCGCCAUGUGUGUGUUCGUGCCCGCCUAACCUCCCAGCUCCAGCCUCUUCUUUACUUUGUUUUCUCGCAUUCUACCUUUUCCGCCGCAGACUUUGCAUUUCUAAAUCUGGUUUCACCGGUUCAGUGCGAUCCGUGAACAGAUUAUUCUGUGGCCAUGUUCCUUUGGGGAAUGGAAGGAGGAAGAGGAGAACCCGCUUUUGCUUUCACGAUCGGCGCGAUGCUUUGCUUGGUCCGGUGUGUUUUGUGGGCGCGGCCGCGGCGGGCACCGUGUCGGCGAGUGGUUGGAUCCGCCGCCGGGGUGGCUGUAAUUUUUUAACAUACAAACAGCAAGACCACGUUUGAGCCGCUGCUGAAUGCUAAUCAAUCAUUGCCACUAGAUUACAGUAGUAGCCAGUCGUGCGUCUAUUACGUGUAUGCUGGUUGGGGUUAGCAGACGAGCCUACAAAGUACAGACAGUGCUGUGGGUGUCGCUGAGGCCUGCUGCUUAUUUUUAAGCACCCGUUACAUCGAUGUUUACAUACUAAUUAGAAGUAUUAAACGUAGACUAUUUACAAAACCCACUACAUAAGCGGAGGCUAAACGGCGAGACGAAUCUAUUAAGCCUAAUUAGUCCAUAAUUUGACAAUGUGUUGCUACAGUAAAUAUUGGCUAAUGAUGGAUUAAUUAGGCUUAAUAGAUUCGUCUCGUCGUUUAGCCUCCACUUAUGUAAUGGGUUUUGUAAAUAGUCUACGUUUAAUACUCCUAAUUAGUAUCUAAACAUUCGAUGCGACACGUGCUAAAAAUAAGCAAACGGAAACCAAACAGCCCCUUACACGUUCGCUGAUCCUGCGUGAUCGUCACGGUGCAGUUCGUGGAGUUUUGUGUCGAUCAGAUACCGACAACGGCUGGCUUCGACACUAUGAAACUUGCGGAGACAGCGAUCGGAUUUUAAUUGGCGUGCGCUGGCGAGUGUGGCCGUGCACCUGAUCGUACAUCGACGUCCGACCUGAUGAUUGUCACCGACUCGCCGUCGGCCGAACCUGUCGGCGGCGGGCCUGGCAAAAAUUAUCGAGACUUAUCUCUGUUUUCUUCUGUGGGUUGGCUGGCAGCCUGGCGCCCGUCCGCUCUGUUAAAUGGGCCGAUUAUUAAUACCUGGGCUGGCCUGCACUGGUAAGUUAAUGGGCAGCAGGCCUGUUUAAAACUCAGUCCAACAACGCCUUUGGUUCUCGGCCUUUCUCUUUCCAGAAGCAGGUUCAUGUUGGGUCGAGAGGAAGGAACAAGGCUCAAACGAGGCCGAUUUGGGACAGCCCACAAGACUCGAAAUGGGUGGUGGUGUUCCCGAGUCAAGGGACUGAUGUUUGCAUGCUCAACGAGGCUCAUCAAGCCCACCUAACAUUCUGCGUCAGUCGUUUUGAAUUAAAGAGAGAAAAAAUGGAGCCCUCUUCCAUCCUCCACGUCUUUGGUAGCCUUCAUGCCUCUAGUUCGGGGAACCAGGGUCCGACGUCCGCAUGUAUAUACGCCUUCCUAAUAAGUAACUUUUGGGUAGGUUAGUUUGCCCAUGGCAGGGUUAGUGUUGCAUUCGGGUAUUUGUCGUUGAUGGCAUCCUCUGUGAUGAAAAUCCCCUGUCGCUUAGCAUCAAGGUACGUCUUCCAGUUCCUGAUGGAGUUGGAACUGGGUUGGUGUGUAACAGUGUAAGGAUCCUCUUCUUUAUUCUUUCAUUGCUCGUCUAUCGGAUUUUGCCAUCGUGGCGACAUGCAUCUGUUUCUGAUCUUUGUGAUGAUUUUACAGGCGCCCAUACGGUGGAACCUUCGGUAGUUCAAGUAUUCAGCCACUUGGUUGUCGUGCCACCGUUGCCCUUUCAUCAAUUGAAGCUCCUUCGUCCGCUCGGGCCUCGGGAGCUUGCUUCCAGCCUCUCCCUCGGUGCUCUACUCUGCUGCCUGCGAAGGGGAAGUGCCAAGCAGAGGCGGAUGUGCUGACCGGACAAGCAUGAGUUCGUUGAGAGGUUCACUCUGCAAGUGACCGGUUGUAAAGGUAUUGUUUUCAUAUAUAUACCCCAUCACUUAUAAAAAGAUCAAAGUUUAGGGGAUCCAACCCAAUAUUUUUUAAAAAAUAAACAGACUGGACUAGAAAGUCGUUUGCCCCCAUCACUGAUCAAAGUUUCGAGCGCGUGCACCGUGCACGUUCGUCCACUCCGUCCAAGUGGGAGUCGCCGCCGACGGGUGACGCAUGCGUAUCUGCGGAGCGCGGAAACUUUGGCCCGGGCUCCACCGCGGUUUCCACCAGCUGUACGCCGUCGUGGGACGACCGACUCCCCCCGGCCACGGCGCCGGUCCGCCGGACCCGCUGUGGCGCUGUCACAGUCCGCGGCCCACACCGUGCCGCACUUCCGCACUUGCCUCCGCCCCCGUAAUCCGCACGGUCGGUGGGCGUCGCCGAGCCCACCCGCGGACCAGCCCGAAGCCCCGAAUCAAUUCCGUUCCAGGUGCUGGCUGAGUCACCGGGUGCUUGACUUCCACGGCUUCGGAGCACACGCGGCGGGGCCUCUGAAUUCGCAGCUUCAACGAAGACAGCGUCAUUAGUCCUCGCAUUGCCAAUGCCAACGUUUCCGUCUGAUCCAGUGUUGACGAAACCCAGCUCCGGGCACAUCCAAAAGCGGCGUAAACCUGUGCCUAUCCGAUGGAAGAUCGAGGAAAUUCGUGCGCAGCCGGCUUUGAAUUUUGUUGCGCUCAUUCUCGCUCAAGCCAGACAUGCAUCAUGUGCUGGCACGUCUGCAUGCAACCUAGCCAGCCUCCUACACUGUGGGGGUCGUUGCUGAUCCGUCCCAUGCGUGUACCACAUGCGUGCACCGCUGUGCUGCUGCUGUCCUAGGCCGUUGCAGGGGAGUCAGCUCCAGCGCGCGCCAACGCGCGCACCGUCCGUCCUGCAGCUCCAUUGGGGCUAGCUUGGAAGGCACACCAAAGGCCAGGUCACGAACCCGUGAUGUGUGUGGAUAUGGUAGCACGUAGCAGCGAUACGCUGACGGAACGGGCCCGUCGCCGCCCAACGAUGAGAGCGAUCGUGAACGCGAGCGAAACGCGCGGCCGGUGGCGCGUCCCCGAAUCGGAUCCUGUCACGUGUGGCAUGCGCGCGUACCCGGAAGGAAACUGGUGGCGGUAGCUGGUAGAUGCUGCCUGCUGGCCACGGCCGGGAUCGAUCACUUUACACGUCCGCCGGGAGAGAAAACAAAGGGUUAUCCACAAAUUUAUCCGGAUCACAUUUGCGUAAUCCGGCGCAGCAGCGCCGAGCCAACAACCACCUUUCGGGCUUGCCGAUGGAUCAGAUUAUUUUACGGGGGUGGACUGGUGCAGCGGAUUCGCAGGUUUUUCCUGGAAAAAGUUGUCGCGCACAUCGCGGCCGCGUGCGCGCAAUUAAUAAUCCGCGCUAAUCUAAUCCAGAACGGCCGGGGCGACGCACAUCGCUUUCCCGCUACGACGAGCCCGUGACGCUAGCACGUCGCGGUCGCUCGAAAUCGCCCGCUAGUCAUAUGAUCUCGCGGGCCUAGCUAGCUCUCGAGCUGGAUCUGGUCUGGUGGUGUUCUCUAUGGGGUCGUAAUUGCGUUGGGCUUCUUUCGAUCCGCUCUCGCCCGCUUUUCCGGAUCGAACACGUGGGAACUGAGGAAAAGCGCCUGGGCCCCGGAUGAGACCGAAUCAGGCGUGGAUAAGACGACAGAUUAGCAGUAGUAGCAGAGCAUGGAUGAGGGAUCGCCGAGUUGGUGGCUCCAUUUGCCUGCCUUUGUAUUUACUUCCGCCACGCUCUUCUUGUUCCUGAUUCUGUGAUGUAGCACUGCUUCUGUCGUGGAUAAGACGGAGACGCGCUCUUUUUCGACAAUGUUUUGUGGGUUAGGACGUGCUCGGUGUGUGUGGUUACAAAGAAAACGAUGGAUAAAGAUCCUGAAUGAGGUUGUCAGCAUGGUUAAUUGCCACAAUAAACACACGCUAGUGGCGCCACAUGAAUUUCCUUGAAAUUUUUACCGCAUUAUGUUCCUGUUCGUUGCGCACAAUAGCAUGCAGAAUGGGAAAACCAAGCCACGCCAUCCUUUGAGGCCACCAGCUUAUAUUUGUUAGCUCGUUGUUUAGGCGGGGUAGAAGAGUAUUCUCUAGCUUGGUAAUUGGUAUCUUUUUUCGUGGUUUGUGUUCACCCGCCGGAUUUGCAUGACAAGCCAAGCAGAGUAAUAUGCAUUUCUUAAACGGGAAACUGAAAUUUUUAGAGCGCGUUCAUUGCAGAUAACGUUCAGGCAAGAUUAAAGUGUAAGCGUUCAAGAUCUUAUUUGGAUCCAUCCAUCCAAAAUUUAGCUAGCUGAAUUUAUGGAUGUUUGGAUCCAUCAUCUUAAUAAUUAUUAAAGAGAUAUUUGUUUAUCCUGUACUGCAAUUCUGGUAACAAAGUAAAGGACCCGUCAAACUUGCCUGGCCUGCACGGCGGCCGGUCGACGGUGUCGAUUUGCUUGCGUCUAUUUCUUUUUGAUCGGUUGUAGAUGUGCUCUGUUAAUUGGAUGUUCCAGGGGUUUGGAUGGGAAUUUGGUUUGCUGGUUCGGAUUGAAAUAAAUAGUGUCUGGUGUAUGUAGAAGCGUCAGCGCGGCAUUCUCUUUCAGAACCAUCGCCGCUCUAGACCAGAGAGAGGGACGAGGAAGUCUCUGGACAAUGUUGCUAACUGACGGGCCUGUUCUGACCGUGCGAUUAAUUAAGGAUAGUGAAUGGACGACGCAGAUCAGUAGUCGACGUGGCACAAUGGGCGCUCGAGAAAGGCCCAAUUGCCUGACCGAGAUUCGUCUAUUAGAGAUCGUACGUCUUAGUCUACAAGCAUGGUUAACCUGCUCUUUUGGAUGAUCGAAAUGGCUCACCAACGUCGUCGACCUGGCGCAGGUUCUAGAAGACAGCUUGCGGAUCUGUCAACAACAGGCACAGCUAGUAGUUGAGGGCUUCAGGCAGUGGAUAACGCAUAAAGCACAGCGUAGUAGUCCGGGCGUACGCCUAGUCCUACCUGACGGAGCCGGUGGUUCGGCCGCGUGUCAGCGUGCCGUGGUAGCGCGGCAGAGCCGGCGCGGAGGCUGACGGCGUGAGGUGGCGUUCAUGAUGCUGACGGCGUCGUUAUCCCAUCCAUCCAAUUCUAAUAAGCAGGGUGCUUCAGAGAUUCAUCGAACACGACACCCCCAGGAUUAGCCCUGUUAAUUGGGUUGGGUUUAUUGGUUUUAAUGGUUUGGUUUAUAUAAUAAGUUCAUUUGAAUUGGUUUAUAAUGAGUUGGCCUGCUAGAUGGUUUGGUUUGGUUUGGGUUUUACAAAUAAAUAGUUUGGAAGGUGUUUGGGGUGUGUGGUAUUAUUUUUGGAUCUAAAAGACUCUCAACCCGUGGGUUGAGACCCAUUAAGAACCCAAAAGCCUGGAGCCUCAUCUAUCAAGAGUCGGACCCUAAAAAUAAAACCUCACGUUCACACCUUAAAAUUUUGGAUAAAUUGAUCGAAACUUGUUACAGAUGAAUUAGUUUAACAGUCCGCUACUGUAUGCAAAGCAGUACGGCUGGACUUACAUGUGGGGCCCGCGUCAAGAGUCGGACCCUAAAACUAAAACCUCGUGUUCACACCUUAAAAUUUUGGAUGAAUUGACCGAAACUUGUUGCAGAUGAAUUAGCUUGACAGUCCGCUACUUUGUGCAAAGUAGUAUGGCUAGACUUACAUGUGGGCCCCACGUUGAGAGUCACAUACAAACUCAAAAAAAAAAGUUAACUAAUGGGUUUUUAUUGGGUACCUAAUGGGUUCUUAUUGGGUUGUAACCAUAUUUGGCAAGUAAUUUGUAUAACUUAUGCAAUAGUAAGUUUGGGGUGGUGUGGUGUGUGAUAGUGGAGGUUUGGUUUAGGGUGGGUUAUAUUUAUUUUCUUAUGAGAAUAGAUUGGUGUGGUUACAACAUGGGUUACAACCCAAUUAACAGGGUGACCCAGGAUCCACGUGAUGCCACACAAAAAUGGAGAAAGAGAAAGGAAAGAGGAGAAGAAACAAGGGCUCGCGUUCGAUCAUUCAUGUUCUGAUGCUCGUUGGCCUUCCGCAGAUUCUUCGCCAGCUGAAGGCAAAUCGUAGGCAGCUCCGUGACUGAUUCUCGGAUACCGCGGUGCAUUUUCGUCGCCUCAUAAUCUACUUAAGCGCGAACGAUUUCUGAAGAAAUUUUCAUCGCCCAGCGAAAAGAUUUUUCCAGAGAGUACAAGGUGGGUACACGCCAAAAGCCAUUGCGCUGCUAAACGGGCACAUGAUCAGCCGACAAAGGCACACCAGCUUGUUGCCGCCAUAUGGCUGAUUUUGAAAUCGCCCGCAUGUUUAAACGAAUAGAUUUUGCAGCCCUGGAAUUCCAGAACUCUCAUUUUAAAAUCUCAUGCUCGCUGAUCUUGAUCACCGUGUGAAAUCAAUCAAAACACCGCAUUUUUUUAAAAAAAAAUCUUUUGGACAUGCAAACGUGCCAACUUUAAUUGCUGUGGAUCAGAAAGUCAGUACUCAGUACCCUGUAGUCAGCAAGAGUCCAUGCGCACGGAGAAAGGCAGAGUUUUAAUUUGCAACUUGCAUUCAUAUACUUCGAUUUGAUCCAAUCCAUACCCCACAAAGAAAAAAGAAGACAGGGGACGAAGACCAGUUGACUGUUCGUCAUCAUCCAGUCAUCCUACCUACUGCGAUGAUUAUAAUACGGUGAAUCUUAAACCAUUUUAAAUUUCCCGCUAAACCCGAAGAAUAAAGCCGUAUGAGUAAAUUAUUGCCCGGCCGACACCGUCAGCAGCGAGCGACGUCCCAGGCGUCACGGGCUACUGCAUGCCGGCGAGCUUGCCGUUGCCGUUGGCACCGCCGCGCAUCUCGAGGUCGGCGCCGACGUGCACGUCCUCGUCGCGGAUGAAGCGGCCCCAGUACCAGUGGUUCUUCCACACGAGCACCAUUUCCUCGAUGGGCACGUUCUUGGUCUCCGGCAGGAAGAGCGCGACGAAGAUGGUCAUGACCACCACCCAGGCGCCGAAGAAGAAGAAGAGGAUGAACUUGAAGCGGCAGAGCAUGGGGAGGAACGCCUGCGCGAUGAUGAAGGUGCAGAGCAUGUUGACGGACACGUUGAUGCUCUGCCCCGCCGACCGGAUCUCCAGCGGGAAGAUCUCGCUGGGCACCAGCCACCCGAGGGGUCCCCAUGACCAGGCGAACCCGGCCACGUAGGCGCAGAUGAAGAGCACCACGAUGGCGGCGUACGCCUUGGGGAUCUCCGCCACGCCGGAGAACCCGAACUUGGCGCCGAUCAGGCUACCGACGACGAUCUGGCAGGCGAGCAUCUGGGUCCCGCCCUGCAGGAACAGCUUGCGGCGGCCGAGGCGGUCCACGGUGACGAUGGAGACGAAGGUGGCGAAGACGUUGACGAGCCCCGUGAUGACGGCGGACAUGAGGGAGGCGUCGUCUGCGAAGCCCAGCGUCUUGAAGAGCACCGGUGCGUAGAACAUGAUGACGUUGAUGCCGGUGAGCUGCUGGAACAUGGGGAUGGCGAUGGCCAUGACGAGCUGCGGCCGGUAGCGCGGCUGCAGGAUAUUCCGCCACGGGUGCGCCACGAGCUUGGACUCCUCGCUGGCGGCGACAAGGUCGUUGUACUCCUCCUCCACGUCCUCCGUGCCGCGCACGCGCUUGAGCAUCCGCUUGGCGGCGUCGGUGUAGCCGCGGUCGAUGAGGGAGUUGGGGGUGUCGGGCAAGAACAGCGCGCCGAUGGCGAUGAUGGCCGCCGGCACCGCCGCCAGGGCCAGGCUCACGCGCCACCCCCAGCCGCCCUUGAUCUUGGCGGUGCCGUAGUUGAUGAGGUUGGCGCACAGGAUGCCGAUGGUGAUCAUGAGCUGGAACCCGAUGUUGAGCAUCCCACGGAGGCGCGCGGGGGCCAUCUCCGACAGGUACACCGGCACGGCCUGGUUGGCGAAGCCGACGCCGAUGCCGAGGAGGACGCGGCCGAGGAUGAGCAUGACGACGUCCUUGGCGGCGCCGUUGAGGGCCGCGCCGAUGAGGAACGUGACGCCGCCGCCGAACAUGGACCACUUGCGCCCGGCCACUCGCGUCACCGUGGCGGCGAAGAAGGAGGCCACCAACGCGGCGAGGUAGAGCGAGGAGGUGAACAUGGUCAGCAGCUGGCUGUCGAACUUGCAGUACUGGUUGGUCUGGUUCCGCUCCGCCUCCUGCUCCUUGCGGUACACCGACGGGAAGAACUUCAUCAGGAACGGGUUCAUCGACGUCACGCCACCUGAUCAUCACGAACAAACGUCAGUUUUUUUUUGCUUUGCCACUGAUUUUUUGCUUCUAAGACUAUUCUAAUUUUCUGAAGGAAUGAUCUGAGGUGAUGUUUUUUGUUUAUUUGGAAAAAAGAAGGCUAGGUGAUGCAUGGAAAGAUUCUUCUUGGCUUUGCGAAAGAAUCUGGGAAACCAAAUAAAGAAAAGGCGGGGGAAUAUCGCAGUUUUGUUUGUAUGUGUAAAAUCAUGCGUCGGGUCUCCCGACAGCACGGUAGGUGAACUGCGCCCGAGAAAAUACCCUGAUUUGCAAGAACAGAGCAGCGUGCGAGAUGCAAACAGAGAGUGUGUUUUCUCUCUCUUUCUAAUCAUAGCCAUGAUUUUUUUUUUGAAAAAGAUCAGGAACAGAAGAACAUCGCAGAGGGACGGGAUGCGUAGCUUACCAGAGAUGCCGAUGUCAUAUCCGAAGAUGAGGCCGCCGGUGGCGGCGACGAUGCAGGCGAAGAGCACGAACAUGGUGAGCUUGCCGGGGUAGUCCUUGCCCCCUCCGGUGUUCACCACCACGCCGCCGGCCAUGGCGACUGCCCAAUACUCAAACCACAAACACACAAAGCUUUCGCCUCACACGAUCACAGGCUAGCUCCACACAGAAGACUUCACGAAAGGCCUAUGCCAAGAGGAAAAGAAUGGAAGUGCUCGUGAGCGCCCGGAGAAGAUGGGAACGUCUGCGAGUUCAGAGGCGAACGGAGGCAGCGUUGAUUGUUGAGACGGGGGAGGAGCGGGCGGGCAUUUAUAGGCGGGGCGAGGGGCCUCCAUGUGAAUGGGCGACGAGCUGGAGGGUGAGACUGCCAGGGUGGGGCCAACGCUCCCUCCCGCCCGCGCUUGUUUUUCCGUUCAUUAAUUGUGGCCGUGGAUAAAUCUUUAUCCCAGCUACCGGCCCCACCACCCCCGCUUCUUCCUUCCUGGAAAGACCCAGCGGCCAUUAAUGUGAACACGGCGCCGGUGCAGGCGCGCCAGCUGCUUUCCGCUCCCGGCGACGGCGGGGAGGAGGGUCGCCGUUCGCCGCCGUCCACCGCGAGAACGCGUGCGUGUACACGCUCGAGAUGGGCUGGCGGUGUUAUCCGUUCCGUUCCCGUUUUCGCUGCGAAAUGUAAACGUGCAGUGGAUAACGGCAUUAUUAGGUUCGAGGGUAGAAGAACAGUUAGCGGGGGGAUCUCCUGCUGUGCUGUGUCUGGAUUUCUGGAGUCACACCUGCUGAUGACUCGGCGACAGGUCAUGCAGGCUCCAUGCGUAGCGUAGCAGCGUUAAUGGCGAAUCCGAUUCUUGCUGAUCAAGUUCCUCGAUUGUGGUUUAAUUUGGCAGGGUGGGUAGGUGCAUGCCGUUGCCUUCCUCAUGGGAGGUGAGGUACGCUUGCUGACGUGGAACCGGCUGUGCAAGUGUUGAGCACAUGUGGAUGGGUCAACGGCUCAACGCUGGUCCAAAUUAAAACAGAUGAAACUGAUUAACCAGGCUGCGGCAUGGCAAAUUUGCGCAAAGAAAGAACCGAAUAAAAGGGUUCAGUUUUCUCUUAGGUUAUGGGUCUUGAUCUAAACGAUGAUGUAGAUUCUUAGGUUAACCAUCAUAACUCGACGAAAUCAGAUAAUGGAAUGCGGCGUUUUAUGAUCAAGCCGUGACAUGCUAUGCUGACCCACAAGAUCCAAAGUGCGCAACUUGGCUGCAUUCACCGAACACAUGCUCGCUCGGCGGCCACGGAAGUUGGGACUUGGACGGAAUGAUGGAGGCAUUGUUUAACACAAGCGCGAGCACGUCGCAGUCAUCGUGGGCGAACAGUGCCCCGGGACUGGCUCGGCCGGUCGGCUGCGUACCCGUCGGACAGCUAAUCUGCUAGCUCGGACGACCAUGGCCUCAUCUACUAUCUCCUUGGUCCGGCGCCGACCGGUGCGCCAGCACGUAUAUACUAGUACAGAAAAGCCAUCGAGCCAGACACGGCGAACCGCCGCCAACGGCGUUUUCUCCGAUCCGGGCACAUGUUAGGAACGAUCUGCCUGAGAUAUUUCUCCUUUUCGUACUGGCUCCCGCCGCCGUGGUGGUGUGCGUGCGUGGCGUCGUCACGCCACCACAUUACUGCGUUCUCGUCGCUGGAGUCGGCGGCUUCCGGCGGAGUCAAAGGAGGGUGCGGCAGAGGCGCGCGGGCGCUCGGGGCUAGCUGGCCGGACCGCGCCGGGAGCCGGUGCGGGCAAAGCUAGGCCGCAGGUGUGGGAUCGCUGGGAUACGCUAGCUUGCAGCCAUGUCGACGUCGCCGCAUCGCGGACGCGACAAGGACGCCUCCCAUUUGUACCGGUCCCGUCCGGCCUGUAGCCCGGUAGCAUGCGUGAGUAAUGCCAAGCGCCGGUCACGAUCCUAGGCUCACUAAUGGCUUGCUGGGUAAUGGCAAGCUAACUGCUAUAAUUUGGUCAAAGGGAUGCCGAUCUCGACGGUCGGAGCAAGCUAGCCUGGUCCACGGAACUACGGCGCCCAUGUCGGUCUCUGUGGGAACUAGGAAGGGCAUGCCAGUAGGAGUGCAGGAGGCAACCGCAAGUACACAAGGCUAAGAAGAAGCUAAGCACAUGGGACGGGACGGGGAAGGCGGAAGGCAGGCCUGCGAUCCGAGUCAACGAUCGACUGGGAUACGCGAAGAAGACGGGCCAGCCAUGCCAUGGUUCCGAGCAAGAGGGGGGAGGGAGAGGCCGAUGCGCGUGCGUCACCGCGACGACGAGAGCGAAGCCAGCGGACGGGUCCGGCGACCGGCGCUGAGGUCAAGCCCACCCCAAGACGUGUGCCUGUCAGUGUGGACGCAGCAGCUCCCGCAUGUGCCGCUCGUUCUCGCGCCUCGCCAGUCAAUGCCAACCAGCCGGGUCAACCACUGCUGCUGCCAGUCGACUGCGAGUCCUUGCUGGGCUUUCACUGUUGCCGGGAUAAGACCCCGCUGAGAUUUGACUUGAUUGAUACUCCUACGAUGCUGCUGCCCAACCCAAGUCGGCUGGCAAGAGCCCAAAAAAUGUGCGGAUUGGGAUCGUACUGUGGUCCGUGGUGACCUUUUGUGGAAAGUGGGACCCUACAAGCAGCCUCGUUUGAAAAAGUCUCGUAGGAGGAAGAGUCCUAGACUGCGGUCCACCAAUCAACAUCCAGCAAAACCCAAGAAUAUUCAGACUAGCAGACAAAAGAAAGAGCUGCUGCAACUUUGCAUGGCGUGGUGCGUUGCAUACUUGCACACCACCGUUUGUCAACAGUACAGUUUUUCGACUUUUCGUUCGGCAUGGGCCUACGGUGUGUAAUCUACACGUUGUCAUGUUUGAAUACUGUUACGAUGCACUCAUCGAAAUCCGAAAACAAACUACUACUGCUUUUGUACUAAAAUAUGUAAUCUGCUUCUUCCAACUGCCCAAAGUCCAAAACAAUAUGCUAAAUGACUAAAGCACGUCCUAAGAAACUGAGCUGCGCGAGUGCAAGUAGCAGCAGCAGCAGAUGAACAAUGUGCCGCUACCAGUAAAGCCCGAGUUCUAAAACCCUGAGCCAUACGUGGAAAGCUCAGCGGCGGCGGUUCUCGCGCCAUUUCUUCGUUCAAGGCGUGCAGGAAAGCAUGCUGCUCCGUCCAUCAAGUGCCAAAGGUUAGUGAAAAAGCGUGCGUUCAGGUUUAAUUUGAGACUUCAACUGUCGUUUUGUUCUGUUCCUAGUUCUUACCGCCAAGAAGACCACACGCGCUAUGACCUGACCUGUGAGAUGUUUACAGUUGACGCCGUAUCCGUAUCCGUAGUCAAUUACAGUGACACGCAAGACCACCAGAGCUACCUACAUGAGGACGAUGUAAUUUUCUUCCUUGAGCGCAGGAUAUUUUCAAGGUCAAUGCUGCUGGGUAGUAACGUAGCCCACGAGGCCGCCCCGCUUAAUUGCCGCUCGUGGCCGUUGCGGCCGAGCUGCAAUAACCACGCGGAUUAAACAAUCUUCGCCUGCUAAGCCCACAAAACAAUAUUGCAUACCCGCGAAAACCCGCAAGGACCCACUUCAUGACAACGCCCAUCUCCUUUCUUUUGCUCGCCACGGUGCUGCCCGGCGCCGCCGGACGAUGGUCACCGGAGGGUGAGCAUAACGAGGAAGCCGAGGAACGUCGCCGCGCCGACGCCGGAUCAGCUGAAGACGAUAAGCUGUGCCAUGCACUCGCGCGACCGCCGGAGUUUAUCGUAGCUCCUCGGGACUACGCCGGAGCAGCAGAGCACGAUGACGCCGCCGCCUUCGCCGCCCUCUGCUUGCAGGCUCACCUCUCGCACGUGGCCACGCCGAUCGUCGCACGUGAUGGUGGUCUAGACGGCCACGACGCCAGCGCCGGCGCCGGCGCCGGUGCCGAGCACGAGAGCGUCGACGCGGAACGGGGCGCCCAGGAACCUGCCAGACGAUGCGCAACAUGAUGCAGGCUCCACCUCUCGUCGCCAUCGACCCUGCCAGCAACGCCUCCGAUGGCACCAACGUCCACCUCAAAGAGAGCCAGCAGGCCUUGUGACUAGCGCUGAUGAUUCUUUCGGACGCUCGCGGGGUUUGCGGACACAGCCACCAGGCCCACUAACCAAGCACACUAAUUCCCAUGCGGGUUAGCGGCUUCUCGUGAUUGAUUGAAAAUGCUUUGCGGGCUAACGCAUGUGGGUUGUGGCUGUCCACAACCCGCCCCGCCUGCAUCCCUACUGCUGGGCACUCGAUCACGGUCUCACCGGUUGGUCUCACGGGCUACCUCAACCAGUUAAGUCUGUCAAUUUUCACUGUCACAUUCAACCAGCUGGUAAAGCAGGUUUAUCCAGCAGGAAUAUUCAUCGUCAGUGAGCAUAAGAUAUGUGAAUGCACGGCAUGCGGCGUGCAUAUCUCUUUCACUCACGUCGCUGCACGCAAAGGCCUAGACGCGCGUGUGGCUGGUCGAGCCGCCGGGCAAUAUUCUACAAGUCAAGCAGAUUCCUUUUUCAUCACAUCAACGAGUGGCCCCGCCAGUAAUCGUACCUACCAGCAGCCACUAUUCUACUUACAAGUUAACCGAUGGAAUCGAUUGACAUGUGCAACACGGGUGUGCACAAUUAAGAUGGCCAGAUGGGCCUUAAUUACUACUACUAGUAGCAGUAGAUUAACACCAAACUACAGUGUAUAUUAUUCGAUCCUCGUCGUACUUAAUAUUUGCUUCACGUACCCUGCAAAUAGCAAAAUGUUUUCCUUUUCCCUUCAUUUCAUCCCAAUCUUAAGCAAGUGCAUUUCGUCGACCGAUAGUAGACACGUGCGACCUGUCUGUUUUUUUCCCCCCUGAAGUCCCUGAUCGGCUGAUCUCAUUAUCAAAUCACUGAAAUCAGAGAGGGGGGUCGCAUUCUCUUUUGCGGAUGGAGCACAAACUGGCGGGCUGUAUUCUUUGGUCAUUUACUCGUUCAGUUUCCAAACGCUAAUGCCGUCCGAGUCACGUGCAAUCAUGUGCGGAUUCUGGUCUACAUUCUUCCGAGAAUGACACCCAGUUUGCCCACACGCAGUCACGUGCAAAUAAAAAGGGCCGGAAUGGAUUCUAGGAAUUUGAGGCCACGAGCUUGGUGCCUGUAGUGAGUGGCUCACUGGCUCGUCAGCUAUCACCGUUUUCCACGGGUGCCCGCCCUCUCGCCUGUGAUUUGAUUUUGGAAUCCCAAGUGAUGGGCACUAGCGAUUUGUGGAUCGUGCCCGUCGCCCGUGCGCUGAGAUUGUGUGGGGGUAUGCAGGAAACGUGGCAAGCAGAGGCACCGAGAUGACUCGGAGCGAGGCGGACGUCCGCUUCAGUUUUGAUCAUACAGAGUUGCAGACCGGGCGAAAGUUGGAGUAGCGACGCAUUCUGUGAGGGUUCUGCUCGUGAGUCGUGAUACGGUAGCAGAGGUGCUGGCAAACUAGAUAAGAUAGUGUACAAAGAAAGGAAGGGGAGAGCAAAGUGAACUCAGAUCUCAAAUUGCAAAGCUGAAUGUUCAGAUCAGAGAUGUGAAGCGCAGCAGCUUGAGAAUUUCCGGUAAUGUAGCUGAAGAAAAAUACUGAGCUUAAGCUGUUUGAAAUGAUAGUUUAUGGCCCAUCGAUGUGCUGGGCCUGAGCGCCUUCACGCGCGCGCGAGAGGACCAAUCCCUUCAUGGGCUUUUGUCGGUCUAGAUCAGCCCAAAUCUUUCACGCUCAUGAUGGACUGGAUCACCACCUACAACACCGGAGGAAGAUGAAGCCCAAAAAUUCGUCACAUACAGGUGUACCCUGAACCGGACGGCCCGGGCGCGGCACGGCGGCAUCACAGGACCGUUGCGCGGCGGCCAGCUGCGGCAAAACAAAAAAAAGAGAUGCGUCUGCCGGGAGUCGAACCCGGGUCUAUUGCUUGGAAGGCAAUUAUCCUAACCGUUGGACUACAAACGCCUUGUUGAGGUAAAGGUUAAGAUUAAAAAUAAUAGAGAACAGACACAUGAGAGCAUGUAUAUUAGGCACCUUCUUUCCCUUUUCCUUUGAUAUGUUUUCAUUUCUGUACCUUUUUCCCCGACUCCCAGUGUUAAUUGAGAACCUCUAGAACACAAAGUCCCUGGACCCUAUGCUGUUAGUCAGCAAAGCUUUUAGGUCUCUGUUGACAGGGCUCAGCUUUUCUAUAGGUGGUCAACUUCAACAAGAAAAAGUCGGAAAGAAAGCAGCGUCAGAGUAACAUAAUCUCUGGAUGAUGUAGUAGCCAACCUAACCCAACAAUCAUCUCACGGUCUUCCAGAAAUCCGGAACUACUUUUAAGCGUUGACGUUCCAGAACAAAAAGCUCUUGAUUGCUGCAGAACGGCGCCUCCCCUCCCUCAACUGCCUCGGACUUGGAGACAGACACCUUGCACAUCACAGGGGCCAAUGCCACUACGAAGCUGAUGGUGCGACCAAUUGUAAGGUUGGCCGGUGUUGGAAACUGGAGAUCAAAAUAAAACAGAGGGAAUUGCUUGUUGGGCAGACGUUUUCAUGUGCUCACUGCUCAGUGAAUGGCUGCUGGAAAAGGCAGCUCGCCUGACUCUGACUCAGUGAUGACCGGGGAACAAACUACCGAACCUGCCCGUCGAAAAGAAACCAUUCCUGUCUGAAUAAACGACCCGUGUCUGGAGAUGCGCUGUCCAACGUCUCUGACUGAAGCUUCUCACGACAGGUACGUGUAGCCGGAACUGCCAUCUCGGCUCAUACCUCUGAAGUCAUGCUGAGUUGCUAGCUGCUCAAACAUCUUGUCUGAAACUUGAAGCAAGCGAAUGCUCCUCCUCAUCGAACAAGGACUGACCUGACUGUUCGGCUCAGAGGGGGACAGGAAACUAGAAAAGCAGCCAUCAAGCUGAUGCCAAUGUUGCGUGUCUCCUUCAGCCAGUUAUUGGUCAUUUCAGGCUCUCGACAGCGAGGCUUGAGCAACGGAAGCACGGACGGUCGAUCGGGGGCUCGGGGCAGGUCUACGCGCCAAUGCCUCGGCAUUGUGACGCUGGAAAUUUCACUGGUCCAGGUCUCAGAUUCAGCCACACGGUACUGAAUCCAAACUACUGGUGUAGCACAUAAAGUCGUGUAUUGUUCAUGUUCAAUGACCGUGCUUCUGCAUCGACAUUGCAGAUUUACAGUAUCUUCCACGACCAGUCAGAGAGUUUUAUUGCCCUGCUUUGACUCGAUAGUACAAUCUUCAGAAACACCUGCAGAUGCUGCAGCACGCGAGAUAAACGCACAGUUACAUUUACAUCCUGCAAAAGGUCUGCAGACACAGCAGCAAUGGAUCGAGUGCGUCAGAGAAGACGACCAGUCGCCAAUAGAUCCGCAGCUCUGCGUGCAAUAAGUGUGUCCACAUGGAUGGAUCGAGGUAAAGAAGACGGCGACUUAUUGCGAUCGCGAGAGCUAGCUUGAGCCCAUGAUCGCAGCUCGUCGGCAGGCAGGCACGCAGUACCCGCACUGUACCGCGAGAGAUCAUAACGCGAAGGCGACCCUACCGCGCGAUCGCGAAAGCUCAGAUCGAUUUGCCAUUUUGCUGCUGAAUGAUUGGUUUCCAUCACUCAUUUGGGCCAUGGUCCACGCCGCCCACCUUUCUGUCAAAGAUGAAUGUGCCCAGCGGCAAGAAGGAAAACAUCCGAUGCACAGGUAAAAGUGUGCGAUUUUCUGAUGCUGAUGCAGUCACUGGGUGGAUGGAUUAGUUGUUGAAUGGACUCGCACUUUUAUUUGACAGUGAUGAGUGAUAUACACAUGGGGUGACAAAUCACUGGGUGAUUCAUUCUUUGAUUCCUUCACAGCAACAAAAGAUGCAAGGAACAUGUGUGUUAGCUAGAGGUACAGUACUAGUAAGUGACAGCUAGUUCUUGUCGCCAAGGAUUACAGGCUCCAGAUGCCAUGGAAAAUACUCCUCAGCUUGCUCCCGCCAAGCUUCUUCACGAUCCGUUUGGCGUCCGGGACAUUAGUCUCCGCGAGCUUCUCGAGAUUCCUGCCAUGGAAACAUAACAAACAGAUCGUGAGAAUUUCUAGUGAGAUGAGAUGUGAUGAACAAAAACACAUAACGAUUAGUCAGUGAUUGACAGGUGGUGUCUGUACCUGACGUGCUCCGAGGACAUGAUCUUCCUCCGGCCGGAGCUGCUGUCCGUGAGGUGCAUCAGCGUCGACAGCAGCAACCGCUUCGCCGGCGUGGGCUUCUCCUCUUCGGGGCCCAGUAGCUGCAGCACCUGCGCCACGUUGCGGUCAUCCUGGACGAACCGCUUCCGGUUGCGGUGCACGGACACCAUGGCGCAGAGCGUGUCCGCCGCCAUCUCCCGCGCCUCCGGGGACUUGGCCGCGCGGAGGACGCUCACCAUCUCCGGCAUGAACCCAGCGUCCCCCAUCGCCUUCCUGAUCUCCUCGGACACCUGGCACAGGCGGUGCGCCGCCUUGAGGGCGCAAUGCUGCAGCGUGGUGUCGCCGUUGCGUAGCAGGGAGAGGACGCGGUCCAGGAACCCGGCGGCGAGGAGCCGGUCCGUGGAGGUCGGCGGCGAGAGACAGAUCGCGUCGAUGGCGCGGAGGGCGACCUCGCGCGCCUUCGAGGAGCGCGUCGGGGAGGACGGGUCGAGCGCGCGGACGAGGGACUCGACGGCGCCUUCCUGAAUGACGGCCUCCCUGGCGGAGCUGUCCCCGGAGGCGAUGGCGGCGAGGAGCUCCAUCGCCUGGAUCCGCGCCGCGUCGUCCGUGGCGGCGCCCUGCGAGAGCGACACGAGCGCCGGCACGGCGCCGGCGUCGGCCACCAUGUACUUCCUGAUCUCGUCCACGCCUGCGAGGCUCCGCAGCACCCGGCACGCCGCGCACACGAGCUCGCCGCCGCGCGCGCCGUGGUCCGUGCACACGUUGAGCAGCGCCGUGACGCCACCGUGCGCGGCGACGGCCCAGGCAUUAUCCGAGUUCUCGGUGAGCCUGCAGAGCACCCGCGCCGCGCGCUCCUUGGCCGCCGCGGUGCUGCCGGCGCCCGCGUCGAGGACCCGGACCACGGGGGCGAUGACGCCGCCGACGACCAGGUCGCCCCUGUGCGCGUCGGACCCGGCGAUCACCGAGACCGCCUCCAGGGCCUCCUCCUGGACGCGCGGGUCGGGGCACUCGAGCAGCGAGACAAGGACCCCGACGCCGUCCGGGACGUCGGAGGCCACGACGCGGACGCACUUCUCGUCGUCGCGCAGAGCCUCGCCGAGCGCGGCGGCGGCCUCCCUCCGCAUCUCGGCGCCGCCGGCCCGGAGCCUGGCGAAGAGGUCCCGCACGUAGAACCGCACGUCAUCGCGGGUGGCGCCGGCGCCGGGGCGUGGCACCACCAGCGCCCGCGCCCGCGUGAGCGCGCCCGACGCGUACACCUCGUCCAGCCGCGCCACGUGCGCGUCGAGCGCCGCCGCCAGGACGUCGAGGUCGCUGCGCAGCCGCAGCUUGCCGCCGCCGUAGUGCCGCCCCUGGCUGCGCGGCACCAGCUCCAGCGCCUCCCGGGCGGUCGCCGCGACGUCCCGCAGGAGGCUCGCGAACGCGUCGCACCUGUCCUCGCCGUUGUCGUCGUCGGCGCCGGUGACGGUGAUGUCGGCGAGGCCGGCGUGGAGGCGGUUGAGCCGGUCCCUGAUGAGCUGCCACUUGAGCGGGAACAGCGUGGCCGACAAGGAAGCGGAGACCAAGGAACUGAUGGCGUCCAGCGCCUCCGCAAGCAUCCCCUGCUCAUCCAGCUCCUCGUUCUGGCUCAACUCCGCCGCCGGCGCGGCCGCUUCUUCCUCCCCUGCUUCUCCCAUCCUCCUGUCCUGUCCAAGCUCACUGCCUCAGCAGCAUCGGUCAGCUCCUUCUCCGAAGAAGGCUCACAUGCACCUCUUCGAUUCUCGCCGAGCUUGCAUCGUGGUGGUGGUCGAGCGAGGACGAGAGGAGAGGUGGAAGGAAGCAGCGGUGCGUGGAGUGUGAUAACUGUAACUGCACGGUGGCGCUGAACUGGAAGAGACGGGCAGCUUUGGCGUCUUCCAGGUAGUUAAUGGAGGUGGAGGUGGAGGCGGGUGGGCCCGGCAGUGGGCGGUGGACCUACCGGCCGGGGCGCAGGCGCAGCACGAGCGCGCGACUGUUGAUGCAUGCGCUGGGCUUCUCGGGGAAACACGACGACGAGGCCCCGCCUGCCCUGGGGAUCGGCGAGCUUUGGUGCGGAGCGGCAAGCGCACGACGAGGGGAAUGGAAUAGCGGCACAAGUGACCAAGCCUGCCAGCGUCCACUGGCUACGGGUUUAGGAUCGCGUGACACGCUCAAAUGCUAGGCGCACAUAGAGGAGAAAUAUGGAACCCUCUCCAGCUCAAGUGUCAACCAUUUGAACAACACAAAUAUACAGUAUCUUGUUCUGUGCGGUGAAAGACGAAACUAUGCAAGCCGACACGACAACCUCCUCAUCAGUCUUGUAUUGUAUCUCUCACAAAUAUGGCUAUUUAUUUGGCCAUAGGCGGUGUACUGCUCAUUGAUAGCAAGGUACGUGACCUUGUCACCCUGAACGUCUAUGUGUGUGUGUGAAUCAGUGGUUGUGCCAAUAUAUUUAUUUCUUUUUCAUAAAAAAUAUGGACGCUGAUACUGCAUCUGAGUGCCACAUCAAGAGCUUUCAGGAUGGAUGUCAAUGCUCAUUCAUAUAGCUUGAUGUAUCCACUAUUCCACUAGAAUGGAACUCAUCUGUUACUAUUUGCACUAACAAACACCAUGACUCAAAUUCGGUCAAAUAAAUCAUUUAUUUUUAUAUGUAGUAAAACUUCUCACUGAUGGUUUGGAUGAUAUACUCCUUUUUGGUUCGAACAACUCAUUGUCCUAGAUAUAACAUAGAGAAUAAAAUAAUGAUACACUAGAAUUGAACUCAUUUCUUACUCUUUGCACUGACAAACACCACGACUCAAAUUCGGUUAAAUAAACCAUUCAUUUUUAUGUAGUAAAAUUUUUACUGAUGGUUUCAAUUUUUUAUGUAGUAUGCGAAUAUGGAUGGAUCAUGGAUGCCUAGCAUUAUCUACAUAGCACGCUCAAUACUCAUGCAUUCUCUAGGCUACAAAAUAUAUUAUUUUUAAUUAUUUUGAAACUAUUUGAAAAUAGUCAUUAUAAUUGAACCUAUUUAGAUUUGUAUCUAUGACUAUUGAUAUUAAUAUGGUUAAUGGUAUUAAUUUUAAUCAUAUGACUAAUGAUAUACAAUUUAACUUCAAAUUGCGCACAUUCAAUAAUUAAAAAUUGAAUCUAUUUAAAAUUUGCAAUAAUUAUCUUGAAACUAUUUUAGAAUGGUAUCUAUGAAUAAUAAAAAUAUUAAAUUGUAUAAACUAUUUAUUUCUAAUUUCAAUUAAUGUUGGCAAUGCUAUAUAUCCCAUGUUGUAUUUUUAUGACUUGUAAUAUGAUUGGUGUAAAUAAAUGUGUAGUUGUGAAAAUAGAAAAAAUAUGAAAUAUUAAUGGUAUAUUUUUAUUCAUCUAACUCAGUGUUUGGUUAACAUAUUAGCCCGGUUUUCAAUCAAAAUAUUAUUUUUUUAAUAAUUUAUUUAUAAUGGUUCUAAGAAAGUAUUAACUCAAUAUACAUGUUCAAACCAUUAUUAGUUUUUAUGUGUUUUUGUUCUUAAAUAUAAGUAUCCUUUGGUUUUUGAAAUGAAAAGAGAAUUUAUAAUUUGAGGUGCAGAUAGUCCAAUUUCUAUCUGUAUUAAAGAUUCAAGAGUAUCCUAAUUCAUUUUAAAAUAUGGAUACAAAAGUGGAAAGAGCAAUAUAUAACGGUAUCCUAUCUAAUUUCCAUCCCCGAAAAUCUCAACGUGGUGACCACUUUCCACGAACGAAACUCGCCACAGCUCGGACGCAUGAUUCAUCACGAGAUGCAACAUCGAGUUCUUAGCAUCGACCGAUGGCAUCAUGGCAAAGCGAACAAAGUCUGUCAAGUCAGUCCAGGCAUCUAGCAGCGCAGCCUGCAGCCGAGAAUCACGAAGCACUGCCGCACUGGCACUGAAGCAUCCACUCAACGCCGAAGAACGCGCGCGACUGGACAAGAGCGCAUGCACGGGAGCAAUUCCUGUGCGCCUGCCUCAUCGUGCCAUGCAUGCAAUCCUGCCAUGAAAACUACUACUCUAGAACUGCCAAUCUUCUCGUCGCCUAGGAAAGGGUCCAUUUCUAUCCACUUGCGCUUCGCUUCUACGCCGCUCAUGUGAGCCCUUCCUUAAUUUGGCUGCACCUGCACCUGCACCUCACGAGAGAGCCUCGCUUUAGCUGGUGUGGAUGUGAAGGAACAAAGGGCGAAAGGAGCACAGGAAAAGAUGCAUAAAAAGCUCUGCAUGGCAAGGAUCACACAAGGGUCUUGUUGCCCUCAUGGCAAGAAAAGGGCGCCCGCUUUCCUCUUUCUGGAGAUCCGCAGAAUACUUGGCGGUUGGUCAUGUGAGAGCGAGAGGCAAACGGCAUCGGCUACCUGCUCUGCUCAGCUACCGGUCUGUUACUGCAGUGUGAUCCGUGAUGCUGCAUUGCCGUGGUAAAGAACAGUGCAGGAUGGAAACAUGUGAUUCGUGAACAUUCCAUCAGGCAAACAGAGAUGAGAACAAUUUAGCAUGAUUUUGCCGUGUAUGGCUGCAUGCUGCAUCGGUACGUCCGUCGGAUUAUUGUCUCUGGAUGGAUUGUGACUUUGUGAGAGCCCAUGCCUGCAUGGGAGCUGGGGGCUCAGCACAUGUGGCUGGAACUGUGGAUGGAUAGCUGCGAGACUCUACCAAUAUCACUGAUAUGAAAUCAAUCAAUAAUGUUUCGGAAAAUGCAGCUGCAGUGGUCACGUAUGCAUGGCUGGAAUCGUCUACUGUUUGGAAUCAGUACCUAGCAGGAUAACAGACCAUCUCCUCCUUAGAAAAAAAAUGAAGGCAAAGUCUGUACAGAACUUUCACACAGAUUGUGGCUACCUGAUUGUAUGAGCCACCACUCAUCUCCUGUAGUUAGUUCUUCAGAAACCUUGGACCCAUCUCCUCAUAAUGCCAUUGUUCUCUGGACAAACUCAAUAAAUUGGUAAUACGAGAUCCUGGAAAAGGGACAGAUCUCUGAUCUGGACCCAUGAUUGCCCUUCAAGAUCAUCAUGGGUAGUGGCUCGCAAAGCGCUCCCAAAGUUUUGGUCCCAUGGAAAGUGGUUGUGGGUGACAAAGUACAUGUGCUAUAGCCCAUAGGAUGAUAUGGUAGUAAAAGCUUCGGUUUCCCCAUGGAGAGGAAAAGCCACCCCCACUUUCUUGAGAAGAAAAAAGUUUGUAAGCCAACAGCUAUCUUUUGCUGCAAUGUUUAUGCAUUGACUCAAAUCAUCGCAGCAGAUUUGGCCGCUGAUUGUCAAACCUAGCGCAUGCUGAUUCUCUAGGUGCUUUGAGUGGCUCAAGGAUUUUGUCAUGUCUCUGCAAGAAAUGUUUUUUAAUAAAAAAAGGAGAAAGAAAUGUUUCUGGAUGCAGUGAGUGCAGUUAAUACUGAAACAGACAUGAUUAUAAAGUACAAAAUCAAACUUGACAGUUAGUGGCAUAUGAUCCAAUCUAGUUCAUCAUUAGACUAGGUGAUCUCAAGAGUAGGUAAUUUAGACGGAAAGGCAUGUAAUCCAAAGUAGAACGAAGAUGUACCCAAUCUGAACCUUGCUUUUGCUUUGCUAUCCAAGAUCAUGCGGUGGAGUAGUUGCUUUUCGAGCUUUCAAGAGACAAGCCAGUGCUACAGAACAGUUGCUUGGGACAGUACUGUACUGGUGAAGUUUUAUCAAAAAAUAUUAUUGGAGAGCGUUCGCUACCUAAAAUUAGCCAACUGAAAGCAAAACACCACCAACCAUCAGUUUGACAUGCAUGCAUCCUUUAAUUAGUUGUCUUAAAUUGUCAUGCAGUUUGUGAUACAAUGAACCAUGUCUGAUAUUCUUCAAUGACAAACUAUUUUUUUUCACUAAUUUACUGCUAAAUUUUAGUAGUUUCUUGCAGCAGUGUUUGUUUACUACUGUUGACGCAGCCUGCCGGAUCAUGAAGCAGGAUUGUAGAACAGUCCAAGAUCCAGGUUAUAAAAAAUAAACUGUACUGAAUGUUUGGGAUCCAAGAUAUGUUACCGUAGAAUGUAAGCUGGAAACAAGUUUAGAAUCAUCAGUGGUUGGUCAUCUUACCGAUCCCUUCAGCACUCCAUAGAGAUUGAUGUGUUCAAUCAAGUGCUGGGGAAUAAAGAAGUGAUAUGUUUGGUAAAAGGAAAAUGAAUAAGUUGGAUAUACCCGAACCACUCCACAUGCUCUGCCGCAGUUCCGACACAAGACUGAAUUAAUAUGUAUGCAGUCGAGAAAGACAAAUGGUCGAAGGCAGGAACAAUUAUAGGGACUGGUGAAUAAAGAAUCUACAAAGAAAUAUUAAAUUAAAUUAUCUUUAAAAUGUUGCAUGCAAAUGUCGUAACCCUAAAAAAAAAAACAGACCAACAUAAGACAAACAAAAUAAAGUGCAGAUUCAUGAAGAGCGUAUCACAAUAAAACAGAUAAACAAGGACGCAACACACAACUGAAGAAACUUUCUGAAGAACUCCUGUGUGUGACACGACCCAACACCUGCAGGCAGAUCGAUGACACCUUUCUCAUGAACAAAUCACUGCCAAAGAUCACUGACAAAUUUGAUGAGACCGAUUAACUUAACAGCAAUAUUCAGAUCAAUUUCAUUGUAAACUCUGCAUAACUUGGUCCACAAUUGGUUCUGAAAAUGACACCGUAUCGUGACACGCCGUCUGCUGGUUCUAGUGGGCCACAGCUCUCUAUGAGCAUGACUCGGCCACGAUAUGCCAUUUCUUCACCAUUUUCAUAUCCAAAAAAGCUCCAAAUACUGUCUGUCCCAAGUUAUCUCAUCCAGAGUUUCAGUCAUGCAGCACCUCCUGAUUCUACCGGAGGUCUAGAGCACUUCCUUUGAGCAGUUGCUCUAGAGCAGUUCCUUUGAGCACAGCCUCGAUAUCCAGCCUGUACCAGGGCCCAACGACGGCGAAUUGGCAAACGGCCCAUCCCAAAACCUGUGGCGACAAUGUGCAUGCAAGCGCGACGAAAGUGUCGUCCAUGAGCCUCGAGCGUUCUACCGCCUUAUCCCGGGUUCCCAGCCAAGUGGAGCAGGGUCCUCCACGAUCUCUUCAGUGGCCGGCGUUGGACGCGGCGAAUUCUUUACACGCCGCCGCUAUCCGAGCCACGAACACCGAGGCACGUGCGCCCGGCGCGGCCACAUGUCGAGCAGCACGCGAUCGAACGCUCUUUUCCGUCGUUCCCAAUCCGGCCUCAAAUUCAAUUUGGCGCCCCAUUUGGUAAUGGCUAUAUAACGUGACGAGCCACCCGAAGCAUUCGCCGCAUCUCGCGCCCCGGCAUCUGCUCCGCUUCCUCUCGGCUAGCCGGCCACCGUGUCGUAGUCUCGUGGAGCGACAGAGCAAGGCGGCGGCGGCGGCGGCGGCGAGGAUGCUGGAGAGCCAGGCGGUGAUCGGGGACACGGACAUGCUGCAGGCGAUGCAGCAGGACGCGCUGCGGCUGGCCGGGAAGGCGCUGGACGACUUCGAGGCCGUCGACUCCACCGAGAUCGCCCGGUUCAUCAAGAAGGUCGGUCGGUCGGCCGGUCACCGUUCGUUGUUGCAGCGAACACUGAACGCCUUUUCAGAAUGGUGACAUGUUUCUUUGGUUUCUGAUGCUGACAUGUUUUUGCAGGAGUUCGACCGGUCGUACGGGCCCGGAUGGCAGUGCAUCGUGGGCACCGACUUCGGGUCCUUCGUGACGCACCACUCCGGCUGCUUCAUCUACUUCGGCAUCGGCAACCUGGCCAUCCUGCUGUUCAAUGGCGGCGCCGGCGGCGCUCCUCAGGGUGGCACGGCGGAGCAGGCGCGGCUCACGGCGCUGAAGGCUGCUGUCGAGGCGUGAGGGAUCGGAAUGGCGUAGGGUAUGCAGGAUGGAUUGGUCGAAGUUAUUAUGGUUCGUGUCAUGGUGUGGCUGUGUUCCUGCCACGUCGUUUCGUGCUUGCUUGCGAGUGAGAGUGGCCAGACUCGAGUGUAGCGAUCAAACUUGGAGGACUUUAAUUGGGUCUUGUUUUUAAUUGGGUCUUGUUUAGUUUCCCAAAAUCCCAACUUUGGUACUAUGCAAAAAGAAGAUUCCCCGUCACAUUAAACUUGCGGUACAUGCAUGAAGUACUAAAUGUAGACAAAAUCAAAAACUAAUUGUACAGUUUUGUUGUGUAGUCAAUGUUUGGACAAUAAUUCAUAAAUACAAACGAAACGCUACAGCACAGUGAUUUUGAUCGUUCAAAAUCGAGCAACUGAACAUGCCCUUGGUAAAAAACAUUGUUCUGGCGGAAGCAGGUCACACCGAAAGUGCGGAGUGGAACUUCACAUGCAUUUUCAUCAUUCUCACGUUUCUUCAGAAUCUUCAGAAUCAUUGUUCUCGCAGAAGCUGUGGGCUAUGGGCUACGGAUCAGUCCUUCGCUAUCCCUUCCUUUUCGUCCGUCUAUCCGGAAUUUUUUUAUUUUCAUAUUUUUUUCGAUUUUGCACAAAUAUAUAGUCAAAUCAAAAAUUUGCAAAAUGGGCUUAUACCGCCGGCUGAAACUGUACCGCCAUUUGAAACGGUACCGCCGGUUGAAACGGCGGUAUGGGCCUGGCGCCUCAACGGUCACCCAGCGGAUAAGCUCUGCGCGGCAUCCGAGGAAACUGGCCCUUACCGCCGGUCAAACAGCGGGGCUCGCCCACCGUAUAAGCCGCACCCACGCCCCUCCCCUCCCCCGCACCAGACUGCGCCAGACAGAGAGAGAACGCCAGAGAAAGAGAGGAAAUGAAAGAAGGGAAGAAAAAAAAGAAGGAGAGGAGAGGAGGAGGAGGGAAGAAGGGGGAAGGAAAUUCUUCCGUCGUUUCGAGGUAAAUUUUUUUAAUCUUGUAGUUUAGAUAGUAUAGUGUAGUGACUAAAUCUAGAUUUAGAAAUAUUAGUGGAUCUGAGAUUUAGAAAUAGCUAGUGAAUCUAAGACUUAGAAACAUUUAGCCGAAUUUAGAUAUAGUAAAAUGUAGCUUAGUUGGUUCAAUAAAUUUAGCUUAAACAGUAAAAUAGAUUUAGCUUCGGUGGUAUAGUAGAUUUAGCUUAGGUGGUAUAGUAGAUUUAGCUCAGGUAGUACAGUAGCUUUAUUUUAGAUCACAGUAAAUUUAAGAAAUAUUAGUGGAUCCGAGAUUUAGAAAUAUCUAGUGGAUUUGAGAUUUAUUUGUUGUGUAUAUUAGUUCUGGUACAUGUCUACGGUAAAUUUAGUUAGUAAGUUUGGUUUAGUGUUACAUAGUUAUUUGUUUAUUGAAUUGAAGUCGUCAUUGCAGUUAACUGACAUCAUUGUAGUCGUCAUUGUGGUACACUAAGCUUGGUUUAGUGUUACGUCGUUGUCUGGUCCCCUCUCUGUUUGGGCUGUUGCAGCGCCGGUUAUAUAGCGUGAACUCCCGCCGGUUCAUCCGGCGGUAAGGGUCCUUCCACCGUUUCAACCGGCGGGGGUUCCUCGAUCCGCGCGCACACUGCUUCGGCGGCAGCACUUAGGUGGUGAGGGCCUUACUACCAUUUCAACCGGCGGUAGGGCUCUCCCACCUGCUGAAACGGUGUCAGGGACCGGUGUAGGGGGUGUCAGGCCGUACCGCCGUUUCAGCCGGCCGUAUAAACCCAUUUUUGCAAAUUUUUUAUUCCACUAUAGAUUUUUGUAAAAUCGAAAAAAAUAUAAAAAUAAAAAAAUAUCUCCUCUCCGAGCAAAGCACAUGGGCCAAAACCUGACCUGGGAGACAACAGGAGAGAGAGAGAGAGACUUGUACAAGCGUUGGGCCCUGUCUCUGAACCAUAGGCCCAUGAACACACUGCUCUUUCCGUUCCAACUAGCCAGAAUGCCAGAUCACCUAACACCCUAUCAAGGGGUAAGCUUGCUACCUCAGUGACACGACCCGAUCUCACUUUUCUUCAACACUUUUUGCACACAUCGUUAUCACGUUUACAAAUCAUUUACUUGUCAAAAAUGCAAGAUGUCGUGCACGUAGACACUAGCGGAGUUAGGUGUAAACAAGACGUGUAGGGGUCCCUGUCCUGUUCCCACGAAAAUUAUGUCUUGAAAUGCUGCAAGAACAAUUGUAUCUGAAUACCUAAACAAACAAUUGUAUCUGAACCGGCUGCCGUCCAAAUCAUGUUUAUGGAAUGGGAGCAGUCUGUUCACGUGGCCCAUGACAGGGAGACAGGGAGAGUGCCUGAAUAACUAUCUGUCGCAUAUACGUGGGUCCUACUUGUCAGCGCCAUAGCCUCCUCUUCCUCUACCUUCGCCCGCUGCCGGUUCUCCUUUCCCUUCUUCCUCUUCCUCCACCGGCCUUAGAAAAGGGGUGGGAGAUCGUAGGUAGACCUUGACGGCAGAGGCAGGUUGUGAGGCGGCGCGGCGCGGUGACGGGUGGAUAGCCGGUAGGCUAGGGAUUGGCCGGGGCGAAGGUUGGAGGUGAGCUUCUCGGCGGAGCCGGAUUAGGGUGACGGAGGGUGGCGGCGGCAGAUGCGGUGGCUAGAGUUGCCGCAGACGGUGGAGGACAACAGCACGGGGGCGAGCGGAGGAGAGAGAGGGGCCGAGGAGAGAAGGCAGCGGGUUCGGCGGCGAGCCGCCGGAGCCAGGGAGGAAGGUGGUGCAGGGGCUGUUACUGAAAAUGUCGCCUUGAGUGACACGUAGCACCGCCCCAGUUAGGUUGCGACAAACGAUUUGAUGCCUGAACAACGUGCAGUCUGACGAAGCGCUGGAGACCAACAGAUUCGAGCAUUACAGCGAUAAGCAAGGUAUAAAUUUAGGUAACAGCAAAUCUAAAUAGUCCAGCAGGAAAUCCCAGGCAGCAGCACCUAAAACUUGCGACGAGAAAUGGACAGGCUGAGACGAUAUUCAGUCAGUGUGCACUGGCGCGUCACAUCACAUCAGCAUUGGCAUUGUUCUUGUGCUCUGAAUCUGAACUGAUUCGGCGAACCAACUUUAACCAACCAAGCCAACCACCAAACAGGCUACUGAUGCGAUCUAGGAAUCCAGAUCCAAACAGCAUUGCCAAGGCACUCGACCAUCCGCAACAAAAGCUUGGCGAUUCGAGCACAGUCCAGCCACUGAUGGCGUACACGCGUGAUGCAGCAGCACAGCGCGUACCAGUGGAGCAUAAUGGCCCAGCAGUUGCAACCUUGGCCACAAGGAAGAUGAAGAUGCCUGAGAAUCUUGCAAUGCCCAUCGAUACCACUCAGAAGUCACAGCAGCUCAUGAUUCUCAAUCUUUUGCGGUGAAUUUAAAAAAAGACCGGAACAACUGUAGGCUCUGAAUAAGUUAUCAUCAUCAUCAUGAUCUCAAAUAAGCAAAGCAAUCCGUUUGAGAAAAAAGGGAAAGCAGCAAAGCUUCUCACUCUCAGUAUCUCCUCAGCAUCCUAUAUGUACAUUGCGGCAAGCCAUCUAGAUAAACGCACUCAAGAACUCCAAAUCCACACGCCCGAUCAGCAAAAGUUUUGUUAAAAAAGCCCGUGAAACCAAGAAUUAAUCCCCAAGUAGAAAAAAGGACGUGGCGAAACGUGUGUGUGUCGCGUCCGGGGCAGUCGAUUCUGUCACCGGCACCGGGAGAUGUCGAUCUCGAUGAGGCUGUCCUCCUCCAGCAAGAUCUCGAUCAUCCCGUCCUCCCCCUCGCCCCCACCGCCGAUGACGCCGUCGUCGUCGCUGUCGCCGCCGACGCUGUCCGAGUCGGAGUCGGAGUCGAGGUCGGAAUCGGAGGCCCAGGACAGGCCCAUCUCCUCCGGCCGCCCCCACUCCGCCUCGAACUCCUCGUGGAUCACCUCCAGGGCGCGCCCCUUGGCCACCCACGACGCGAACUCGAGGGCCUCCGCCGGGAACACGAUCUCCCGCUCCGGCGGCGGCGGAGAAGGAGGUGGGGGAGGCGGCUGGAGAGGCGGGUGCGCGGCCUCGUGAAGCUGCUGCUGAGGCAGCUUCUCCUCCGGCUGCGUCGACGUAGGAGGAGGGUUGACGGGAGCGGGGGACGCCGGCGGCGCGGAGCCGAGGCGGAGGAGGGAGAGGAGGAGGAGCAGGGAGGAUAGCGAGGCGGGGGAGAGCACGAACAGCAGCAGCGGCCGGGGGAGGUAGAGCACGGCGAGGAGGGAUGCCGCGGCGGCGGCGGCGAGGAGCGGGUGGUGGUGGUGGGGCUGCCGCCGGUCGCCGCCGGCGGGGACCUCUUGCGCCGGCGGCGGCGGGGAAGGUGAGGUGGAGGGGGCGGAAGUGGCCAUUUAUGGCGGGAGGAGUGGAGCGGUUAAAGCGCCGGCACCCCGCCAAGCGCGGCGGUUUUUAUAUAGAAGGGGAAGCGGACAAGCAGAGGAGAUUUGCCGCAAAGCUCCGGCACGGUUUGGCAGAAGAGGGGAGAGGGAGGCAGAUGGAGUGAGUGACCGCGUCGAUGAACUACUGCUACGGCUUGGCAGCUCUUGCAAGUACACGCCAACGGGGGAGAGGACAGUCGGGUAGAAAGUCCAGGGCUCAGAACGUGAACGGCCAAACCGUGCCGCGUUAAAACUGGGAUGACUUUUAAGUGCUACUGCUUGGACAUCGGUAUUUUCUUUGGGUGAUUUUUCGAGCUGUAUAGAACAGCGUACAUUUACGAUUUUACGGUACGCGAAGAAGUGGUAUCGCUUAUUUAGGAAAUAACCAAUUGAAUGGUGUUAUUCCUCUGAUCACGUAUUUAAGCCCACCCAUGUUGAAGUCAAAAGUUCUUUUUAAUUAUGACUAUUAAUAUAUAAAGCGACUAGAAUUAAAUCAUAUUUGACUUGUAACCCUAGACCGUCAGCGUAUAUAAAGCGACCAGGGACACCCCCGAGGGUAACUCCCCUCAACCCAACAAACGUUAACUCUUUGCACCUGCGAUUAGCAAUAUAAUUCAUCAGAACACAGGACAUAGCGUAUUGCUCUUCGGAGGCUCGAACCUGUCUAAACCUUGCGUCCCUAUGUUACCAUUCGAGUUCUUGAUCUUACAAUCUUGCUCAUCUACAAAUCUACCACCUGAAUAACCUCUAGUGGAUUGCCGAUUAGGUUUAGACAAUUAGGUUCACUAACCAAAAAGUACUUUCAUAUAUGCAUUACUCCUUCCAUUUAGGACGUUCUAAUAUUAUUGAUAUCGCUAAAAGUGUUAGAUUGGAGAUGGUAACUUGAUAUCUCGAAGUGUUACUCCUUCCAUAGCUCGAAGUGUUUUAUGGAUUUGAUGUACAAUUCCUAGUUCCAUGGCCAAACAAGUUUUGAUACUUCGAAUUAGUACGGUUGUGGCACAGAUGGUACGAGUUUUACACCGUGAUGGUCUGAUUCUAAUUGUUACAAAAGCUAUGAUAAAAUUUUGGAACCGUAAUUGGCACAAUGGCACAAAUACGUUUCCUUUUUUGAAGGAAAUGGCGGGUGCAAUGCCAUGUCAUUUAAGUAAAAUUAGCAUAAAUGCCCGUGCAUUGCUACGGUUUCUUACCAACUUCCAAGUUGUCAUCCGCUAGCACCUAGUUCGCUUUCUUCACUUUCUAAUCUGGUUUAGAAUGUUUCAUAAUAUUUGUAUACAUCUCUGAUAAUAAUAAACGGACAACUCCUUUGAAUUCUGCAUGGCCUAUUUGAACGGUAGAAUCUCAAUUACAUAUGUAAUGUGUCCUACAUCUAGUUCAAACAUGCAUUAAAACUUCUGAUAAGAUUCAGUACUAAUGCAACUCAUGUCUUAGUUAUUAUGAACAUAAGAGAUUAUCCACAAAACUUUCAAGCUAUAAAAUGAAAAAAAUUAUAAGGCUAAACUAAAUGCUCAGUCCUUGAUUAUAAUAUACUCAACAAUUCAUGCCUGGUCCUGAUAGCCUGAUAUCCUGUCUAGUUGCUCCAAGAAACAUGAGCAAUCAACAUUAUCCUUCAGCAAUUUGCUCCUCAUAAUACAGUCAACAAUGACCAAAUGUUCUACAGACUCAGCCAAAUCAGCGUUGGAGGAUUCGACAUUUCUUCCCAGUCUUUUUUGCGGGACCCACAUCAGGCUGGCAAUCCAUGGCAACCACCGGCCAGCACCUUCCUGCCGCUAAACCCCUAGCAUCGCAUGGCCGCCGCACGACGGGGCGGGAAGAGGAGGGGCCGCCGCCCCUCAAGCUCACCGUGGCCAUGCCGCAACGACUUCGUCCAACCUCCCAACGCUGCUCCUCGAGCUCACCGUUGCCGUGGUGCCGCCCGCCUGAACCUUGUCCCCGACCUCUGCCGCCCCUCAAGCUCCCACUACGGCCCGUGCGUCUACAGUGCUGCCGUCAGCACGAGCUUCCCGCUGCAGCCCGCGCGUUUUGGUGCCGCGGCUCGCAGUCGUCACCGCUGGUGUUGGCCAUGGUGAACAUGACCGGGUUGACGGCAAAGAACAACACAAAUUGGGCUUCCUAAUGCCGAGCGUGAGCUCCCUGCAACCCAAACCGAGCUUCAAACACAAAGCUCGAACUCGUCGCUUCCCAAAUCGAUCUUUCGGAUGCCAAGCUUGAGCUUCCCGCUGCCUACGAGGAUGGACUAGAAGGGUGCGACUGCCGCCGCCCGCGGCGUCAGCGCGGGAAGAGGAAGGGGCAACCUCCCUUGACACUUGCACUCUACAGUCAUCGCGGCCAUGGCCUUGCGCCAUAGAUUUCUUGUAUCCCACGUCAGUAAGUUGAGGGAGGGGGAAUCGUCGCCAGUGCUUUUAGCCACCGUCACCUGCAGCGAUUUGCACCGGAAGCAAAGGUGUUGUCAGAAAGAGAAGGGGUAGGCUCGCCACCUGCUAGUUUUGCUUGGCUUGGGCUCACGAAGGGAGUGCGGGACGGAGAAAGAAAGAAGACGAUGAGAGAGAGAAAACGAAUUACGCCGGUUUAACUUCCAGAACUGCGGGUUUAUUAUGAAAAAAUUGAAGGAUUUUUUUGCAAAAUAACCACGACGGUUGAAAGAAACCGUACUUUAAUAUUAAGUAUAGAUAUAGAUAUAAGAAAAAUAAGUCUUGAAUAGAUUUGAUUACAUAAAUAAUAGUUAUAGUAGGAUUUUUUUUCUGUUUUUCUUGUGCCAUGUGUGCCCGUAGCAUUUCCGUCUCCACUGCCAAGAUCCAGGAAGACCUGUGCCGGUCAAACCGGCGUGGCCUUGUGCUGCGACCUCUUGGCAGCAGCGCAGUGAUGAAUGAUGAUGGCCGCCGCGCACACAGAACCGCAGGAAACGGCGCACCGGCACGGCUGGGCCGGUGGCUCUCCCUCGGUUCGGGCAGGCGAAACAAAGAAGUGGAAUACGGCGAUUCGAAACCAGACCAUCCGGGCAACCGGGGAGGCAGAGCCGCAGAGGCAAAGGCGGGCAAAAGCAGCGGCAUCCUCUGCUGCCUGCCGAUUGCCGGGGCGCCGAGACCAACAAAGCUGGCAAGCCAAAGCGGCAAAGCGUCCUCUGGCACGGCUCUCACUAGCGCAUGCGGCGUAGCAGCACGUAGUCACAGUGUCACAGUCGGAUACCUGCUCGCCGCCGGCAGGACGAGUUGCUGUCACCGCCACGUACCGCAAAACUCGCAAUCCUCUGCGCUGCCGUGCCACGGGAAAGCGCCCGGAGCAGUGGCAGGAUCGCUUGCACUCCAAGGCUUUGCCAGGAGGGACGCGGGGGACGGACGGCCUACAACGGAGGCAUGUUCUGAUCUUCGGGUUGGUUGCGCUGGGCUGGGGCAUGGUGCGGGGACUGUCCUGCCCGCGCCAGGUUACUUUUCCUCAACCGAUGCUUAGCUUCUUGGUUCUCGAAGAUGAGAGAUUUCCUGAACGGAGUUGGGGGGAUUCUUUGAGGAGUUUUUAGUUUCCGAAGCCCGGAUCGGAGAAAACGAAAUUCGAGAGAUCCUACGUUGUACUAGUCGUACCUGGUCCUAGGUUUCUGCCCUUCUGUCGUACACGUCCCUAGGCCAAAGUUGCAGUGCCAUACGAUGCGAUGCCGGAGCCCCAGAGAUCUGAGUUCUGAGUUCUGAGCGAAUGUCUCGGUAUGAUGUACUACAGUACUAGGAGGUACUCCGUAGGAGCAAAGCAGCCGGUACGUCGCUCUCGUGCAAGAAGGAACAGGCGGCUAGCACUGUGUGAUGUUGAUGGCGAUCGGGAUCCAAACAAACUGAAGCCGUCGCGUGUACUGCGUAGUGACGUUACCAGAUCACCACACUAUAUGAAGUACGAGCUCAUGAUCUGCCGACAUUUCUAGCUGGGACUCGCUGAACAACCACGGAGGGCGCACCGCGUAGUCCCAAGUCCCAACCCGGAACCUCCCAAGCAGCCCCCUGCAUAUGAAUGCGCAUGUUCAUACUUGCUACUGAUAAAAUUUUACUUCUGCAGCGACCACACAAGCUGCUGCCCGGCUGCCCCCCGUGAAAAAAACGUGACCCAUACAAAAUUGGGGGGUCCAACUCGCAAAAUCUAACCAACACGAGUGGCUUUUCAACGUUAUGAUAUGAUAAUCUUCAACAGUUCAACGUGCAAUCGGUGACGCCUUUUGCGUCCAAGAAAGGAGGAAUCUGGCUUAUUUUUUAAAAGAAAAAAAAAUUCUGCGGGCAUGGUUGGAGUCCGAUUGUCCAAAGAUAUGAACACGCUUUUGCAGGACGUCCUGCACCUAGAGAUUGCAAUCUGUCCCUUGUUCAUUUGAUGAUGCCGGUUGCCGGGGGCAGGGGAUUUCCCAUCCGCACGUGAACUGAUGGGCGAGGGCGCUAGGCUUCGGUGCGUCCGGGUCAAAAAGGUGCCAAGGGGGAAGCACAGCCCCUCCGUAACUGAUGAAGAGUACUGCGACGAUCCACUGUAAAAACUCCACUUUGAUUCAGUACCAAGUUAACCGGCCAACGGUGAGGUUGGAGUAGAAUAGUACUGAGCGUGAAGGUUAACCGGCCAACGGCAAAGAACGAGCCGUAGGUACGGGAAGUUGCUGAUGGAGUAGAGUACUUGCUAGAGCAACUGUAACUGAAGCUCGUCGAUCGAUCAAGUUGCUGAUGAAAAAGUGUACAGCCAAGGAUGCUGGAACAUUGCAUCUCGCAUGCAUGAGCAGCUAGGUUUCUCCAGCCAAGUACUACAGCAAACAAGUGUGAUGAAUCAGAAAUGAUUUCGGCAGCUCAACUUGCAGGUUUAAAUGAUUUCUAGUGACAGGCAGGCCAUGAAUCAGAAAAGACCGUAAAAUGCAGAACGAGUCUGAUGCUUCAACAGUAUGCCAGCGUUAAAAGUGUGGAACACGUGAAGGUUUACUCUAUCUGCAGUUCCGCACAGGCCAAAUACUCCGGCUGACCGGCAGCACCUGCCAUGUUUUGUUGUUUAUGAUGAAGAGUUUUGAGCCUUGCUUAGUUGCCAAAAUUGGGAGUGCCAAAAUUACUGUGACGGCACUGUAGCACACUGUAGCGUUUCGUUUGUAUUUGUGAAUUAUUGUCCAAACAUUGACUAAUUAGGCUCAAAAGAUUCAUCUCGCAAAGUACAACAAAACUGUGCAAUUAGUUUUUAAUUUCAUCUACAUUUAGUACUCCAUGCAUGUACCGCAAGUUUGAUAUGAUGUGGAAUCUUCUUUUUGCAUAGUGGCAAAGUUGGGAGUUAGGGGUGAAGUAAACAAGGGCUUGAACGCCAAACAAAUAUUUAUGACAAAAGCUCGACAGCCCCCAAGAAAAAAAGGGAGAUACUCAUACUACUGUAGUACUCAGCGUGAGCUCGUCAGUGACGGAAAAGAGAGACAGGGAGAGACCCGGCCGGGAUGGGACCGCGCAGGUGUUGGACCGCCGGGCGUUCUGCGAUCAACCGACGCCGGCUGCCGCGCUGCUGGCUUACUUUUUUGGCGCGCCAGCCACCGGCACCGUGGCCCGAUCCGGCCGGCGGGCCAAUAAUUCGUUGGUUCGGCGCGACGGCCGUCGUCAGGGAUCGACCACCCCCGGCCGGGUCCCCUCCGCCCACUACACGUGCCGCGGUGCCGGCCCGCGGCGACCAGUGCCGCUGCCGGCUGCUCCACGGCUGGCAGCCACGGAGGCGCGGAAGCUGGCACAGCUGCGUGAGGCGGCGCGCGUCCUGUCGCCGGCGUAAACGCGUGGGACGGCCAGGCCAAGCCUCUUGUGUCUUUCUGGGGCGGCUGCACCUGCCCUGCCGGUGAAGUGCUGUAGCAAUUGCGCGGCCAUUGCCGUGGUGGCACCGCUAGUAAAAGCGCCGUGCUCCACGCUUGGGUCCGGGCGGCUCAAAUGAUUGCACGAGCAACUGCUGAUCGAUUACAUUUGCCAGUUGCCAGCGAUCUCGUUUCCUUCCGGGUUCCAGGAACCAUCAAUGUGGACUGUGGAAUGGCGUCAAGAAGGUGGCACUGUGCUGCCUACCAUAAUACCAUUGCAUCUGCACAGUGCACUUGCACCGGGUUGGGGAGCUGCACUGCUUUUACGGAUUAGAGUAUGUUUGGGGUCGUUUUACACCGGAUGGUGGCUGCGUACUAGCGACAGCAAAUGGGUGUAAAAGAAUCGCAAAUGUUCAAACCAUAAUAAAAUCACGCUAGCGAACUAGUAGCCUCAUUCAGAACUCUGGAUUUUGGCCCAUGCUGUAGUGGGCGAGAGCCGAAAGCCACACCACCAACUCCAACAAACCGAACGAAAGAAAAAUCUGGACAGGCAGACUGCAGCUCUGAAGAAACAACACCACUGAUGCCGCACGCAGUUCUUCAGAGUUCAGAGAUAGUGCAAUCUCUGUGCACGCAUGAUUCACACAAUUGCAACAGAUAACACCAUCCAUAUUGAAGCAAAUAAAAGAGUUUAUCUUCUCGUGCACACUAGCAUACGGAGAUCAUACACUUACAGCAUACACAAAAGAGAAGAGAGAUCUCACAUAACUUUUACAAGGUACUUCUACAAAAAAAAAAAAAGAUAAAAACAUCGUCUGUGUUCUUCAAUCACAGCAUUGAAGAAACUCUCUCUAUAUAUAAGCUAGUACUAGUAACUCAUAUGAGUAUACUACUUACCACUACCUAAAAGUUUCUCUAUGACGUGGGCUACAAAAAGCACUGAACUUUGCAGCCUGACACUACUAGAUACACUGGCAAGCUGAAGUGGAAACUGAAAGCCUGUGAUGUCAUAUAUUUACAUCUAGACCUCGGAGAGCAAGGUUUCGAAUGACGCCGACAGGUUGAUGGCGAUGCUAUCCAGGUUCUUGUUCCGGAGGCGCGACCUUGCAACCCUGCGUUGCAUGGGCGCCCCGGGGCCAUCUUCAUCCUCGCCGUCCUCGUCGCCUCUAAAACCGGCCUUCGAGGACGGCGUCGCAAACUUGAAAUGCAGCUCUCGAGCAACAACUGUCUGCAAAGAAGGAAUUGAACAAGGCGAUGUUAGCCAACAAAGUGGACAAGAAACACAAUUUGGAAUCUGGAAUUAGGUGGUAGGGGUUCGAAGUGCGUACUGCUUCGUUGACUGGUUUCGACACGAGGAAGAGCUGCCUCAGAUCACUGUGGUUCACCUUGCACAAGACUUUAAUCUGCAAAAUCAGAAUUAAAUUGGGAUAAGCAAGGCAUACAGGACUGAAUCAGAAUGCGAGUAAUAAAAGAAAACAGAUCAGUGACAAGCAAUUACCAGGACGUCUUGAGGCAGCGAUUCAAGAAGGCUGACGGCGUCAUCCAUGUGGAACCGGACGCUGCGCUGCUUGCGCAGGGUGCGGACCGGAGAGUGAGGGCUCCUGGGGCCCGGAGUCGGUGACACGGCCACCCUCUUCCUCCCCAGGAUUCUCGUGCUGCUCCUGCAGUUCGAGAAGCUCAAGCUCGUGGCAAGAGACCCCUUCUUCGCGUCGCCCUGUCCAAUUGCCAUUUCCCCCCUUUGCCUGUUAAACCCUACUGCCCUUGGUCUUUGGUGAUAAAAAGAUCACUUAUCCAAUCGGAGAUCUCGUAAGGAAGAAUAUCUGCACGGGAUUAUGGAGAUAAGAAUCAUCAAGCUGAAAGAAAAAGAUUGGCGAAUUUCCUUUUAAAGACGAACCGAUUCCCUUCCAAAAUUUUAGAUCGGAAAUCCCGCGGGAGCUCUCGUUCAGCGAAAAAUCCCCGAUUCAAAUUGUCCCCAGCCACAAACCAAAACUACAGUCGAACACCACUAAGGCUCAGGCAACAGACCAGCCGCAAAAGCGAAACAGGAGCCGUUGCAUCAAACGCAAUCUAGAAAAGGCAGCAUGAUCACAAACCAAUCAGCUCUAAUCCAAUCCCCCGGCAGCGAAAGCUAGAAAAAGGCAGCAAAUCACAAUCCAAUCACCUCUAAUCCAAUCCUCCUCAGCGCAAGGAUGACAUACCACGCGAAACAGAACAAAGAAACAGAGGGCAGGAACACACUGCCAGAGCAAAGCCCGACGAGGAAGAAGAGACAAACAAGCACCGAAUCGAAACAGGAAUUCGAGAUCGGAGGAAGAGAUUACCUCUAGUUUCGCUCUCAAUCUCAAACUCCUCCUGCUCCCGAUAAUCGCACAACAACCUGUGGAUGUCUUCCCCUACUGCUAAGCAACCUAACCUGCGGCGAAUGCUGGAGGACCAGACCUGCGAGGUAAAUUUGGAAACAGCUGACCUCCCCCUUCCCCGGUUUUAUAGGAGGCCCCUCUAUUUGCUCCUACCCGGGGGAACCUGCCUACGAAGUAGAGAAAUCCUCCGCGCGGGGGCCUUUCUAGAAAAUUACGGCAACCACCAGAAUCCAAUGCUGCUUCGUGCGCAAGAUCUUUUUCACCUCCCGCGCCCACCCGCUAAUCCACGCUGCGCCGCUCACUGACACACGGGACCGGAUAAACAGGGUCCUACACGUCGGUCGAUGUGGGUCGGUGGAGGCGGCCGUGGAGGAGCGCGUGAUUUACGGGGUUACUUUUUUGAAAUCGAGGCGGGUUGGCGCUCAACCCGCGUGUGGUGCGGAGCGCGUGGGAUCGGACGGCGCGGGCUGGUGGUGGACGGGCUACGUGGCGCGAUCGCGUGGGUCUGGAACUAGCCGUUGGGGGGCGGGGGGUGGUGGGACGUGGCCCGGCGGCGGUGGGAGUGGGGACGGGGUUGGUGACGUGGUGGCUGACCGGCCGAGAUUGGAUCGCCACGCGAAAAAGAAACGACGGCCACGCGAGUAAGUCGGUGGAGGUCGGUCCGUCGCCGCCCACCGUCUGGUUUCUCGCCGCGUGGAUGUCGUGUCAAGCCCCUUGUUCUCCGGCGGUUUAAAAAUGUAGUUUGGGGACAGCUAGCGAGCGCGGCGCGGUAAUCCGGUAACAAAACGGCGGCCAAAGCGCGGCGCGGCAGAUGGCGUUGGAUUGGGACGCAAGUAUCCUCUGUCCACUGCUCGCUCAGCUGAGAAAUUUUAAUGUAUUUAAUUAAAAAAAAUUACUGUGCGCAUCCAUUUGCUUAAUGAGGAACUUCGCUGCGCGCGUCGUCUAUCCACCUGUUCGAUUAAUUAACGAGAGGGCUGGUGCGUUUAAUUCGAUUACGGCUGCCUGUAUAUAAGAAAAAAACGAUAAUCACUUGGUUGGUGGAAAAAGAGUGCGUUCCGAAAGAAACUGUGCUUCUGGAGUGUGUUCACGUUUACCUAGUUUUGAGACGCUGGUGCGGUUGAGUCAAACGAUUUGACCACGUCCGCGUUAGUGCGUUACCAACACGAGUCAAAGACAGAGCGAGGACGGCGUCAAAGGGCAACUAGCCGGCCGGCCGGCCGAGUGGUGGGGGUGGGGCGCACCUCCCACCUUCUUCGUAGGGCGGCUCUGUUCCAGCUCUUCCUCAACCAAUCCCCGUUUGGUUUCGUCUUGCACGCAGCGACUGGACCACACGUAGCGCCUCCCGCAGUGUCGCUCUAGGGCCGGCGCUGCCGUUACGCGCAGCCCAAGAAGCGACCAUCGGCUAUUCGGCUGUGCACCCACCAAAAAAAAAAUCGGGACGGGUCCGUGGGACUGUGGGAGAGCGUGCGCGAAAAAUCGCGAAGGCCACAGGAAGCAGCCCGCGUGCGCCGGCGCUGCCGCUGCCGCUGUGCGGCGCCGCGCCACGCCUCCGCGCUGCGAGCGCAUCGGCAUCGGGGACGCGUCCCAGCUGCGAGGAGGGGAUGUCGGGGAGCACGUCGUCCGGUAGCGCCGCCGCUACUACCGUCUCGAUGGACGCGCGCCCCGCGCGCGGCCUGGAGCCCUCCUGCAUCACCCCGGAAACAGCUCACGUGUUCCAGCACGAGCCCAGCCCAGCCACGUCCAUAUUUUUUUUUCCCGUAGUUGACUAGGCCUUUGCAAUUCCCAUGGCCUGAAGGGCCGAGACGACGUCCGUGUAAGCCCAUGUUGGCGGAGGUGUUGAUGGGCCGUAUAUAUACACGUUGAAAUCAAAAUUUAUUGGCUGUCAAAUCAUCUCAUCUGAACAGCCUUUGUGCGCUUGCUUUGCUCUCGUUCUGCGUGCAUGCAUGUCGACCAAGGAAAUUUUCGCUUCCGACUGACUAGGACAGCUAGAGAACCAUGGAGGGUUGCAGGAUCUGGACGCAAAUCGUGCUAUCCUCUAUUUGUAGCGUCACUGUACACUGUACAGGACAGUCCCCGAAUUCUCGAGCGAAACGGCCAUGCAUGUGCCCCUGGUACAGCGCCGGUUGCCGCCACGGCAUCGUAUUAACACCGCUUCAGUUCUUUGCUUCGAUUUUUCCUGUCCGGGGCCGCCAGGCGUGCUGAGUCAGGAGAGCAACCACCGCGCGAGCCGAGCAAACGGACAAACGAGCACUCGGAAAGCGGCCCGGCGCCGGUCAGAAGCAGACGAUUCUGUGCAAUUCCCUCCGUCUCCAGGAGUCCAGGGUAGCUGGAUAGGCCGGAUUGGCGAGACACACGACGCGGUGGGCAGGGGUGUGUGUGUGUGCGCGCGCGCCCCCCUCGUCGAAGGCCCCGUACACCGGGAUCACCGGGGGCUGAUGCCGCUGGAUGGCGAUAAGACGAGCAGCCGGCGAUGUUUGCUUCGGGUUCGAGUCAUGGCCAUUGCCCAAUCAUACUGCGAUAGGGUGCACGUACACGCGCAGGUUGAUCUGAUAAGGUAAACAUAAGAGUUGAGACAGGAAUCCAGGAGAGAGACGCUGCGGUCCUUUCGACGGGUCCCGUCGAAACUACAGUCGACAGACAGAGGUAAGGUCAUCCACAACAGUCCUAGCUAAUUGCUAGUCAGCACUAAAUAGCUAGCAGUCCAUGCAACUAUCUAUAUAGUGCUAGCUAUUUGUUAUUUUUAGUACUUUCAUGCACAGAGAGAGAAUGGAUGUGCUAGCGAUUUGGCGCAUCGUCGCGCAUGCGAGCUGAGCAACAAGCAAGUCGCCGGCUCAAAUAUUUUUACAUAUUCUCUUUCCUUCACAUAAGAUACAUGCUAAACUGUACACUCAAAUAGCUAACUGACUCAGCACCAUUACGGACGCCCUAAGAGCACAAGGCCCGCUGCUAGCCACAGGAAGCAGCCUCUGGGCUCUGUGGUCUGCGGCGCAUGGUGCCAUGUCAGCCAUGAUCACAUUCCAGCCGCGGCCAAUGAUCCUCCCGCGAUUUUCUAAUGCCAAUUAUAGAGAUCAGGCCUCGGAGCGCCGUACCCGUACCCGCUGCUUGCCGAGCCGGGCCCCGCCCGGCCGCCGCGACUCACGUCCGCGUCAGCGUCAUCCGCCAACGCGGCUGCGGCCGGCGCUCGCGUGGGAUAUUCCUCGGCGCGUCGGCCCGGCGCGGAUGCAUCCACCACCCGAGCUGGCCCCCCGCCCCGGCGGCGCGCCGAAACAAGAGCUGAGCCGGUAGCUCGCGUGUAGCCAAUCGGCGGGCGCCUCUGGCUUCAGGGAAGGGGGAGGGAAGCAAGAAGGGAGGGACCGUGCAUGUUGGCUGAGUUGGAGCUGACGCGCGCCGGUUGAUCUCGUCUCGUGAUCGCGUCCGGGGGAUCCGACAGGAUCCACGGCGCGGGCAUACGGAUAGAUGCGGGUACGUGACAGGCGGCAGAAAACCGGCGAGGGACGGAGGCAGCGGCAGCCGCUGGUUGGCUAGCUAGGCUGGUGUGAUGCGGUCGUCGUGCCGUGCGCAUCUGCCAUUGGGAUCGAUCGAGGCUUCCACGAACCAAGAACGUAUCCUGCGGUACCCGCGCUCCAUGUGCGUGCACGGCGCGACGUUUCCUUCCUUUUUUUUUUUGCCCAACUACUUGCCGGUAGACAACUUAUACUUACAAUGAUCAAGCUAAGUAGCAGUGCAAUUUUUCACAACCACCGAUUCUACAAUGAUCAAACGUUAUGUAUUCUCGAUCGACCACCGAUUUAUAUAUACAACGAUCAACUAUAAGUAUUUCCUCCGUAUCAAAUUAUAGGUUAUUUUUUAUCUCUAAUUUCAUAGUAUUUAUUUUAUACACCUAGAUAUAUAUUAUAUCUGGAUACAUAAGUAAAAGUAAUGAAUCUAGAAAUAUUAAAAUGAUCUACAAUUUGCUGUGAUCAAGCAUAUAUACCGUGUGUGUUACCGUUGAUCAAAGUAUGUGCUACGUAGCUUUCGCAGUGUCGUCCCAAACUAGACGCAAGGAGCGCGACAAGUCCAAAAUCCAGCUAUUCCCCGCCACGCUUCCAUGGAUCUCCGUACCAAUUAUGCAACCUUUUUGGCCCCACAAGGUAGUACACGUCACCGCCAACGAUACGGAGCGCGACUGGUUUAGCUUGCAUGGACCCGUCCCAUUCCAUGUGCCGUGGUGCACUGUUGGCGGUCGUAGCGUGCAGUCCCAGAGGACACAGGCGAGCAUCCACCAGAAGCGCGUCGAGCGGUAAGUGAACGCUAGAUUGGCAGGUAUCAUGCGCUAGCUGUUAGUUGCUGCUGCUGCUGGAUAAUUCUGUAAAAAUUUUUACCUCAUGGAGUAAAGCUGGUCGAUUGACACCUAAAACUGACAGGCUGUUCUUCGUUCAGACGAGAUCUCGAAAGCUAUAGCUAGCCCAGCUAAAACACCCACCCUGAACUUGUGAACUUUCCGUUUUCAAACACACACACCUCUAAAACAACCGUGGAUGGAUUAGCUACCGCAACAAAACAAACGAGGGGUGUUUGAUUCUUUAGUCCAGACUAAAUUUAUGUCACAUCGAAUAUUCAGAUGUUAAUUAGGAAAAUUAAACGUGACCUAAUUAUAAAACUAAUUAAUGGAGGCUAAUUCACGAAACGAAUCUAUUAAGCCUAAUUAAUUCAUCAUUAGCACAUGUUUACGGUAGCACCAUAUUAUCAAAUCAUGAACUAAUUAGGUUUAAUAGAUUCGUCUCGCAAAUUAGUCUCCAUCUGUGCAAUUGGUUUUAUAAUUAAUCUACGUUUAAUACUCCUAAUUAGUAUCAAACAUUCGAUGUGAUAGAAAUUUUAGGAGAUCCUAGAAAACCAAACACCCCCUGAAAUAUCCUGGGCACACCGGCAGAGCUCUGUGAGUCCAGGCCAAUCGAUGAGUCGGCUAGGGGAAUUGCGAGACAAAGCGCACGCAGUUGAUGACCUGGCAAACCGGCACGUGCGCGGCACGCAAUAAAAAAGUCGCAUGAUUAGGCGGAUGAUCUGGCGAUAAGCAUAGAAUAAACAGAGCACUACUGCUAGCGGUCGUCAAUGUUGUUUGCUGGUGAUCACGCAAGUGGGAUUAUAAAAUCAGAGUAAAUUGAUCGCGGCGCUCAUAUUAGAGUAAAUCAGAGUAUGUAGGAAAACACCAGGAUCAUACUCUGAAUCAAAUGGGAGCUGGAUGGACUAGGACAAGUUAAUGCGUAAAGUUUUAAAAUAAAUCCUAAUUACUCUUAAAUAGAUGAUAUUUAUAUAGACGGCCAGUCAAACUUUACAUACCUUCUGAAGACGGAGCAUGAGUCUCGUGUACAUACCACUACUCUAACCUUCUUUUGAAUUCGAAACUUGGGCACAAAUUCAAAUUGAUAGGAACAGGGGGGACAUCAAUUAAGUUCUAUAUAUGCUGUUCUCAAACUUUUUAUAUAUCUUAACGACUAAUGUCAUGCACGCAACAGAUAUUUAAAAACUGUAAUAUGAAAAAUAAAUCGGACGGUUUUCUCGUAGUUAUACUCUUUCACAACUAUAAUUGACAAAGAUGAGUGUUCUUAUGCUUGUAAUUUGUCAGAACGGCUACUAGGUCCGGGGGGCGCAUGUGCUUGUGGUGGUGCGCCGCAAUCUUCAGUUACCAGGACGCGGACCCAUAAAUGAUAAAAACCACUCCAGUGAUCCAGGGGGUUGUGUCCAGGCUGCAGCAACGUACAGACAGAACUGGCAACAGAAGGCGAAAUAGCACAUCCGACCCUGCCAGGUAGGAAAAUCACAGGCCAACACCCCUGAAGAGGCAAGCUGCGACGGCGCUUCCCAUAUAAAUACCCGCCUCCGGCAUCGUCUCCAACCCGCAACUCACGAGCAGCAAAAGAGCACAGGCAAAACCACGCAUACACACACUGCCGUGGCAAUGGCCGCCGACACGGACACCACCGCCCCGCUCCUGACGAGCCACAAGCCGCCCAAGGCGCCCACCAUCGAUGACACCAUCGAGAAUUACAUGGGCACCACCGGCGUGAUGCAGCUGUUCAAGGCCAUCCUGCUGGCAUUCGCCUGGGCCUUCGACGCGCAGCAGGUGUUCAUCUCCGUGUUCACGGACGCCGAACCGCAGUGGCACUGCACCGGAGCCUCGCCGUCCUGCUCGCCGGCGGCGCCCCCGGCCUCGCCGUGCUGGCUCCCGCCGGGCGCGUGGGCGUGGGACCGCCCCGCCGACUCGACGAUGGUCUCGGAGUGGGCGCUCAAGUGCGCCGGCCCGGCGCUCGUGUCGCUCCCGGCGUCGUCCUUCUUCGCCGGCUGCCUGGCCGGCGGGUUCCUGCUCACCACGCUCGCGGACUCGCUCCUGGGGCGCCGGAAGAUGCUGCUCACGUCCCUCGUGUCCAUGUCCGUCGCCGGCGUGCUCACCGCGUUCGCGCCGAACGUGUGGGCGUACGCCGCGCUGCGGUUCGUGUCCGGGUUCGGCCGGUCCAUGGUGGGCACGUGCACGCUGGUCCUGUCCACGGAGCUCGUCGGCAAGCGGUGGCGCGACACGGUGAGCGUGGCCGGCUUCUUCUUCUUCACCGUCGGGUUCCUGUCGCUCCCGGCGCUCGGCUUCGCGUUCCGGGAGGCGUCGUGGCGGAACAUGUACCUGUGGACGUCCGUGCCGUCGCUCUGCUACUCCGUCCUGCUCUACUUCCUCGCCCAGGAGUCGCCGCGGUGGCUGCUGGUGCGCGGGCGUAAGCAGGACGCCAUGGACACGCUGCAGCAGAUCGCGUCGCUCAAUGGCAACAGCAUCACGUCCAGCUUCUCCAUGCUGCACGCGUGCACCAUGCGCGCGGACGGCGGGGACGCCGGCGGCGGCGCCGGUGGCGCGUUCGCCACGAUGCGGGCGUUCUGGGAGCGGCCGUGGGCGCUCCGGAGGCUGGCGGCGAUCAUGACGACCAGCUUCGGCGUCGGCAUGGUCUACUACGGCAUGCCGCUCAACGUCGGCAGCCUGGGAACCAACCUGUACCUGAGCGUCACGUACAACGCGAUGGCCGAGCUGCCGUCGGCCGUCCUGUCGCUGGCAUUCAUCGGCAAGGUCAACCGGCGGACCACGGUGAUCGCGCUCACCGCGGCGGCGGGCGCCUUCAGCCUCAUGUGCGUCGCCAUCCCGGAGGGCUCGGCGGCGCGGAUGGCGUCCGAGCUGCUCUCCUUCUUCGCGACCAUCACGGCGUUCAACCUCAUCCUGAUCUACUCCAUCGAGCUGUUCCCGACGUCCGUGCGCAACUCGGCGGUGGGGCUGGUGCGGCAGGCGCUGGUGCUCGGCGGCGUGGCGGCGCCCGUGCUCGUGGCGCUCGGCCGGGAGCGGAGCUUCUAUUCCUUCGGCGUGUUCGGGCUCUGCAUCGGGUGCUUCGGGCUCUUCGCCGCCUGCCUACCGGAGACGAAGGGCCGGAGCAUGUCGGACACCAUGGAGGAGGAGGAGCACAAGCAGGAGGCCGCCGCAGCCACGUCUUGCACCGGCGGCGCAACCGACAUUGCCACGAAGGAUAACAGCGACGUCGUGUAGUGUGACGACGCUCGUGUUCGUUUCACGACGCGGCAAUAAUUGUUGCUCUGAUGACGAUAUUUCGGCGGCGAGGAUAGCUAGAUCUGCUCUGCAGGUCAAGCACCAAGCUGUCACCCCUGCCCCCGUCCAAUCGUGUAAAGCUUGCCGCCAAGUUGCUUGCAUAUAAAUUCUGUUUCAAAAACUCGUCAAGUCCGCAAGUUGAAGUCUUACCAAAGUAGCGCCCCGGCCCACAUCAUCCUCUCAAGCAGAUCUCGAUCGAUGCCUAUCGGUAGAGCACAUUCAAAUUCUAUCAACAAAUAUAAAGUAUUCUAUCCACACUAGGAGAACCCAAAUUAAUUCUCUAACAAAUACUCCAUUUGAAAUUACUAGUCAUUCCAACUUUUUUGGAAAGUCAAAACGUCUGAUCAAAUUCAUGCAAUAAAGUACUAAUAUUUAUGAUAUCAGAUAAGUACAAUUAAUUUUUUCAUUAAAUAUAUUCUCAUCGUAUAUAUUUAUUCGGUGACAUAAAUCUUGGUGACCCUCUCUAUAAUUUUAUUCUUUCCAAAAAAAGUUAGAAUGAUUUAUAAUUUUGAACGGAGGGAGUAUAAGGUAAGAAAUCUCAUUAAUCGUCCAGCAAACAUAUCGCUUGACUUGCAAACUUAUCGCAAAUUAAUAGUACUCCAAACCUAUCUAGCAAUCGCUUGACUUGCACCAACCAAACCUAUCUAGCAGCUUUAAUGAGGGCUACACGCGUCUUCUAUCUGGCUUAAACUUUUCAUCCGUGAACGGAGAGAGUAGAUCGACAAAGUCAAUAUAAAACUUCCACAUGAAGUUGCAGCUUUUAUAGAAACUGUAAAAUUGACAUAAUCUUUUAUAGAAACUUCCACAUGGGACCCAGGCCUUAUUUGUCCUCUACCUUAACAUUCUCUAGGAGCAGCAUGGUUUGCUUAAGGAUUAGGCACCCUACUAAAACGACUCUGCCCCUGCCAUUUCCUAGGCUUCCUUGGUUGCGGCACUUUCGUUUUUCGUUGCUCACCUUGGCACUUUUCCUUCCUGCUGCACUUAUUCGACGCCGUUGAGCCCACGCCGCUACCUAUGCCUUCUCCCUUAACUCCGACGAGUUUCUUCUCUGCGACCGUACUGUAGUCCGAUCUGUAUUCCUCAUCUUUGGAGGCUCGUUGUCACCGCCGGAUCCAUUGCUACAUUAACCCAUGCAUCUCCGACAGGUUGCUUCUUUGCCUCUCAGAGAAUUUUUUUUUGAUAAAGUCCUCUCAGAGAAUGUUAGAGGUCUCCACAACACUUGAAUGUCUUUUUAUUUAGUUUUUCCAAUUUUCUUGAAGUGCCAUGCCAAAAAAAAAUCACGAGUGACCCAGCACGUUAGGUUCGUCAUGGGACAGUAGAAAGAGAAACACGAGUGCAAAAGGGUAGUAGACUUCAAGAUCUAGAGGCUCCCCUCAGGGCCGGGAGAGAUAAUAGGCUCCCCCCAGGGCCGGGAGACAGCAAAAGGGUGUGAAUCAAUGCAAGUUUGUCCAUCCUACGCGGCUUCGCUAGAUGGGUACGAUCGGAUGAGCCAAAUAAAGCCAGAACUAUUUCUCCCAUUAGGGCAUUAUAGUCAUUUUGCAUGCAUGGUUUGAAUUUAAGUAAAUCAGCAAGCUAAAUAGUAUACCCAGAUGGCGGCAGUAGUUAGGAUAUGAUAUUUAUGAACUAGGUGGCAGUUACUUAUGCAUUUCGAAAUGAACGACGACUUUCAAGCAGGCCCUGGAUCAAUUCAGACUUGGUUUUGUAUUCAAAUUAUUUGAACUUUUUUUUCCUUUUCUACAUAUACAGCCCCUUUUUCGUGGUUUCAUUUUGAACUAUCUUCAUGGAUUAUUAUAUUGUCACGCAGUCAAGACUUGUGGUUUGCACUUUUACCUUUUAUAUGGCCCCACCAGUUUUCCUCUUCCGAAUGAGCUUAAGAACCUCAUAUCUUUGGACCAGUGUCCACGCGGACCACAUCACGGAGAGUAAGAGACUGCUUGAGUCUGAGAGGUACACAACGGUUGAAGGGGGUGUCAUUGGUCUCUAAUGCUCUCAGCUGUCAUCUAGUAUACAUGGAGCUGUCCCCGCGUUAUUUUAUGCUGCGGCUGACUCAGUGGUGACCGGUGAUGCCAAAGAAGUCGGUCGGGAUCCCCAAUGCCAAAGGAAUCGGUCGAGAAGCACAUUUCAAUCUGUUAUGGAUCAGCACAACAGCUCGCAUGACGAUGCUGCUGGCCCAACAGUACAAUAGGAAUGCGUGAUUAGCAUUCUAGCUAGUGCUAACUAGCCUAUCAUGCUUUAGCAGGUGCCCGGAACAUGGUGCUCUGCUCAUACAUGAUGCUUGUGCCGUGUGGUGGCAUUUUGCCAAAGUUCACAAUCGCAUCCUUUCUCCUGUGUUGCCAUGGUACCAUGUGGGUGUACAGGUGCUUGUGCCAUGAGGCAUCCGUCCCUUGACUUUUUCGCAUUGCAUUCAGCGUAUUUCUUCAGGCUUGCUUGCAAAGAAAAUACCUCGUCAGGGUGGUUUAUUUUUGCGGUGACGGUGAUCAAAUAAAGUUGUGUCGUAGAGAUCGGAAAAACCAGAAACAAGUACGAAAGGACAGAGGAGUUAGAUCAUCUUUUGGGCAAGAUGUACCCAAGAGGAAGCCGUCACAAGCCUACACCGCUUGUUUGGAGGAUAGAGCAUGUGAGGUUGUGGCCGUCGCUAUGCAAGAGAGAAGAAUGAAGAAUCGCCUACGUUUGUUGUCAUCAUUAGAAUUUUCAUAGCAAAUAGCCUCGUAUAUGGAAUAUAGCACUAAAGCUUAUUAGCGUUUAUUUCACAAGAAAUGACAUUUUUCUUCAAUCUCCUUUUUUCCGGCAAUAUCUAAAAUCUUAGAUGGUAUAGCAUCGGACGACUUAUAAUACAACGGCAUGCAAACCAUGGAUACUAGUAGACUAGCUGUCUAGCUAGGCAGGAACUUUGGACUCGGUUGUACUACCGACAUAUAUGCAUGACGAGCAUCAAGGUACCACAGCAGAUCUGGGAGUACAAUCAUGCACGCAUAAUAUCUCGAUGACGUGUGAUUGUGUGAAUGAUUAAACAAACCAUGAAGUGACAAAAACUGGUAGCCGCUUUUUGGGUCAGGGAUGACACAGCCUUCCAGAUCGACUGGGACCCUCCGCUGCCCUCUAUUCUGUCGCAUUGUCCGGACUGACCCUGUCUUGCGAACCCUGGCGUCGUCUGCCAUCCCAUCAAACGCACUACUGCCCUGUACAACUAUACGACCUGCACGAUCAGGUUUGGGCGUCCUGCGUCGCAACUUUUGUUCAGAAGCGUCGCUUAGCACACGGUCUCGCCGUCGCGGACGGUGCUGCCGGUCGGGCCGGGGCGCCAUUGUCAGCGGCGCGCGCACUUCGUUGCUCGGUCGAUCACGCGCCUGCAGUUUUGAUCGGUUCCAAGAGUUUUUCUUCUGAAGUCAAGAGUCGCUUUAUUCCACCACAAGUUAGCUUGAUCGCGAACUACCAAGCUAGCUAGUUACAGUGAUCAUGAGCACAAAAUUACAAGAGCAUGGAGCUCACCAAAUAUCAAACGAGGAAAAAAAAACAGGUAUAGAGCAGGUCCCAGACUUCUCUGAAGAAGAUUACUCCUGCUGGGCCUCGAUCAAGCCUGUUGGAUUUCAGUGCAUCCACCAGCGCAUUUGGGGAGGUUCCCAGAAACUCAGAGAGGGCGAUGUACAUGGGCCUGGGUUGAGUCAGCUUUCAGAUUACUCCAGUUGUGUUGCUCAUGGCUUGGGUUCCGAGCCAGGCAGCCAGCGUUCUUCGCCUCCCCGUUUGCGACGUUGUGUUCAACGGCGGCCCCCUACACGGGACCCACUUCACAGUAAAAAAAAAACUGAACUCCCAGCGACCCUCGCGCGAACAGAAGGAAAAAUUCGCACGGUGCGAGCCGCGCCACUGCCGGCCGGUGCCAUGGACGUUGCGGCGUCGACGUGGAGGGCUGCGCAAGUCCGGCGAGAGGUGAAAGGCGGAGCACAUUGGGGGAGAGCGCACCGCACCGAGCUGCGGCCGCCUCAUCGGAGCCGCCCUAAGGAUAGCCUUCCGCGCCGAGCCGUUGGAGCCGUCCUGGAUAUGACCUCCCACGCCAAGUCGCAGCUCCGCCUCGUCGGCCUUCAGGCGAGCAUCUGCCUCGACCUGUACAUCGAUCAUGUCAUGUGAUCAGCAACAGCCGAAGGUAAAUUAUCCGGAUCAUAAGAAAUUAAAAGUACAACAGCAGGAGCAUUCUUACCUCGGAACCUUCCCUUCGUAAAUUUGGAAUAAGGACAAUACCUCGCACAAGCAUCGCUUUCAGGAUUAGGAUUAUGGUAGUGAAAAAAAAAGGUGGAUGUAUUUUCUUUAACCAAUCGUUACUGUCUUAUCAAACGUCAUUUUCAAAUUGUUUGCACUGUUGUGUUCCUUAUAAUGAGAUAUACGAAAUAAGAUCCACAUUCUGUAUAACAACUCAUGUAUGAAACUAUACACACUAAGAGAUAAUUUUUAUAGAUACAUUGUAAUAGCUUAUGUGUAAGCAAUGUAUCAAGCUUAUAUAGAGAUUAUUAUAUAGCAACUUAUAUUAUUUCUACUUGUCGAGUAAUAAAUUUAUGUACAGAUAAAUGUACAAAGGACUAUAACAACUUGUUUGCAAGCAAUAUAGCACCUUAUGCAGUAUGUAUGGUAUUAACUUAUAUAAUGACGAUGUGGCAACUUACAUAGACUCUUCAGAUAACUAAGCAACAUGAGUGUAAAAUCUGUUUUUAGCAAUUUAUGUACAUAAUUUGUUAAGAGGUUUACACAUAAGUCGCUAUAUACUUAUCCAUAGGUAAAUAAUAUACAUUCGAUAUAAAUUACAAGUACAUAAAAAAUA
This 53276-nucleotide long non-coding RNA is filed under the name Setaria viridis. Its description in RNAcentral is "long non-coding RNA (SVIR_LNC002425)". Lineage: Eukaryota; Viridiplantae; Streptophyta; Magnoliopsida; Poales; Poaceae. The record is from RNAcentral.